UGGCAUACAUUCUCCUACAUUCCCAGCAGGAUGAUGGACCCAACUGAGUCCAUUAUCUAGCUCUUGACAUCUUCGGUUUCUUACGGAGGGUGACCACCAUGAUGAUCAUCAUGGCCGUGAUCGCCGUGAUCGCCGUAGCCGUGAUCGCCGUGAUCGCCGUAGCCGUGAUUGCCGUGAUCCUUUUCAUAGCCACCUUCAUACCCCUUUCCACCGUGGCCGUGUUCACCAUAUCCUUGGCCGUAGUUAGCCUCUUUCACGCUCUCCUCUGAAAUAUAAACGCAGAGUAUGUGAUCAUAUCCGAGUCCACUAACAGAUAACAUGUAAUGUAACUUACUUUGUAUGAAUACGUAGAGUAGUAAGUUAAAAUGCAACUAUUGAAACUGAUACCGUUUUGUUGACCUCUUUAUGAUGUACGUCACAUUCUGAUAUUCUACAACAUACCUUUCUCAAAAUUCAUAAAUUAAUUAAUCUACCGUGAACAACGGAAGCUAACAAGACAUUGACGGAACCCUCGUAAUCAAGUUUGCAAUUCGUUUCGUCUAUCGCCUCGAUAAAAACAUUUCUACAAAUAAUUGUGUAUAUUGGCUUUCUCUAUUUAUUUAUACUUGCCUUUACCAAAAAAAAAAACAUUUCUACAAAUAAUUUUCCAUGAUUAUUUGUCUGUCUGCCUUUAACAAACACGAGUGCUUGCACGACGGACAAUCACACGGAAACAUAUAUACGUCAAAAGUGAGAAUGCGUUUCCCAUCAAACUGAAGAGAGCUAGAUAAGUAAAUUGAGGGAAGACUUCAUUGUCGAGAGCACUCACGUGACUGAGUCUCCUCAGCAAGGUCAUAAGCCGAGACCUGCGCGGCCAUGAGAAGGAGAACGGCCAGAAGCAGGCCGCACAGGAGGAAAACCCUGGAGGAAGCCAUUUUCAUCGCUCAAGGCUAGCGGAUCACCAGAGAAAUCUCAAGGAAGACUACCCAAGUGAGUGCGUGGCUCAACUGCGAACUGGGGCGCCCUAUUUAUAGGGUGGGAAGUGGGAGUACAGACGAGGGGGUAUGAGCUGUAGCGGGACCCACACGAUUUGUACGGUUGUGAUUUGCUUAAAUCCAGAGGAGAUGCGGCCCAAAGGCUUCCCGUCCAAGAGUCAAAGAUAAGAUUGAGGGUGCGUUUGGAUGGGUACCGGAUGGGCUACUCAGGCCCCAAAGCCCUUUUACCCCAAAUUGAGAUGUUUAGCGAUCAUUCUCCAAGGGCUUUCAAGUGAAAGUCGACCCUUGGGAAUGGCCUCAUUUAAUGAAAAUGGUAAGUUGUCUAUUUUGCCCUUAAAACAUUAUGAAAAAACCACUUUUGCCCAUUUUAAAAACCAAAAGAAUCCUAAAUCUUGUUUCUCUUCCCACCCUUCCAUUGCUCUGCACCCUCCGCUCUCUCCCUCGUGACGACCGCUUCUUGCUCGACUAUCGCUCGAUUGCGCUUUUCCUUUGCUCAUUGAGUUCGUCUCUCCUCUCUCCCCCUCGCUCCUGAAACCCAGUGUUCCCAGUGAGGAAGGGGGGAGUCGGUGGUCUUGGACUGCGGCCGGUGGAGGAGCUCCUGCGGGUACUACAAAUCCCCGAGUGGGUCCAGCGUUUCUCACGGUCUGUACGAUUUCUCCUUCGUUUCUUGUGGUUUCCCUCCUCUCCCCUGUUGUUGAGUGCGGUUUUUUGCCCGGGCUUCGGUGGCUUGAGACUGGAGAUGCCAUGCUUCGGGUUUGCCUGUUUCCGGCUUUAGCCGUUUGUCGUGACGUUCACGGUUGCUGGAAUUGCUGAUUCGCGUUUAGUCUCUAGUUCCAAUCUGAUGCUUCAUUGCGUGCGUCGGUUUGCGCUAACGAUUUUUUCCCAUUUCGGGUUGUUUGUUUUUUAACUCGCUGCUCAUCAUGUGUUCGUUGAAAUGGCCGAACCAAGUUAGCGUAUAGUUUCAUUCCGUUUCUGGGUUUAUUGUUUGCUUGGAGUUUUAUGUUUCAAUGCCAAGUGAGAGCUAUUAUACUAGAGCAAAGAUCACGUUUGCCAAUCACUCGUGAAAUGUACGAGUUGUAGGCACUGCAACAGUGUUUUGUCUCUUCAUGUAAUUGAUGGAUUUAGGUUGAAUUCUACUGAAAUGUAUUAGCAUUUGGACAUUGACCCGUGGGGGUCCUUGAGGAGAUUUCCUAUGUGGUAGCUCUCUUAGCAUUUAGGGGAAGUUAAGUCGUACUUGUUAAGGUUGUAUUAAGGUGUACAUGUUUAAUUCAAUUCUGAACGCAAGAAGAAAAGAACUUCCGAGUCUGUAGAUGAGUAGGAUGGUCUAUGGGAGGUGUCCGUGGGAAAUAUACUGAAUUGUAGAGUUUAUAAAAGUACUUAUCAGGUCUGGUGUUGCGAUCAUCAGCAAUGUGAAAGUUAAUUUUUUUUUCCUGGUUGUUGUGAGACAGUUGAACGGGGACUGUGGAGCUUAGAAAACUGGGCAUAGAGCACCAACUUUGGGAAGCGUCUCGCAAAGAAAUUGGCAAUGCCUCUUCUCUCUCGGCAGGCAACCACAACCAUGGAACAGACUCAGAUAUCUCUCAUGAGUAAUGUCAUGGGUACUUAUGAUCCACUCGUCAAUUAGUUUUUCAUUUGUUGUUGAUUUAUAGUUCUUUCGAGUUCAGCUUUCUUUUGUUUAUAUUGCUUCGCCACAUGAAGUGCCAUUCUUAUGUAACUGCAAGAUAUUCGAAAUUUUGUAAUGUCUAGAGCUGUGAGAACUGUACAAUACCGACAGAGAAUUCACUGUGAGAUGUGAAAGCUUUCUUUGGAGGCUGUUGGGUUCUGCAUCGUUGAUUUAAAUAAAAGUAUUUUGUCCUUCAUUAUUGCAUAUAUGGUUGAACUUGUAAAAGUGAAGAGCUUGAGGAGGGUCUUCCCGGAUCUCAUUAUCAGACUAGCCUUGUCUGUGGUAGUUAGUGCGCAUUGGCAGUACUCUCUGCUUUUCUCACUUGCAGAGGGAGCUUGGCUUGCUAAUAUCGAAUUUAGCUUUCUGAGUUACGAUAGGGUGACCCACCAUUUAAGAAUCCGACUUUUGUGAGAAGGUUAUAUCAUUACGUAGCCCCCCCCUCCCCAUAGUAGUCAUCAUCCUACCUUUUGUAUCGAGGCAUGAAAAACUAAUAUCGAAUUUAGCUUUCUGAGUUACGAUAGGGUGACCCACCAUUUAAGAAUCCGACUUUUGUGAGAAAGGUUAUAUCAUUACGUAGCUAUUACAAUAUCUGGAAUCUCACAAUGUAACAGCAACAUGAGCAAGUGGAGGAAAGCAAUUCACGUUAGGCUGGUUAACACCAAAGAAAGAACGCACUUUAAGAAAGCUGGCUUAUUAAACUCGAUGGACGACAUGAACUAUUAUCAUCCCUAAGCAGUGCAUUUGAAUUUGCAUAACACAGACAAAAACUAUGCUAAGUAUUCAUAUACAAAGCAAGUGAAAAUUGUGAUAGCACCAAUGAUUUUGCACAAUUAUAUAUGAAGAAAUGCCUUGAAUGAUGCACAUUUUACUAGAGUGGAUUUGGAUCCCGAUUUAUAUACAACGGAUUCUGAUGAUAUAAGUGAGGAGGGUAAUACUUCAAAUGAUAAUGUAACAUCUGAUAUCGCACGUUUAUAUGAUCAAAUAACUAUGAAUUUAGGAAAUAAUUAAUGAUAUUUGUAAUUUUUAAGGAUAAUGUCAUUCUUUCCUCAAAGCAUAUGUUAUCAUGUUUUUAUUGUAAUGAAAGUAUUCUUCUUGUAAUUGAGAAAAAGAGCACGUAAAUUUUUUCCAUUUGAUUUUUUUUAGCAAAAAAAGAAAUUUUAAUUUUAAUAAAAUUAUUUACACAACAUCUUUAACAUUGUUGUCAAAUAUAAAUUUAAAAAGUUACAAACAUUUUUUUAAUUUUAAAAAAAUAAAAAUAUUUAGAUUAAUCACCAAAGGGGCUUUACAAGUGUGCUUUCUACCAAAUAACAUUUCUUUCAAAGUUGAUUUUCAAAGCAAAAUUUACCAAACAAUUUUUGCAUUUCCUCCAAAGCCCUUUAGGCUAAACUGCUUUGCAUUUUCUCAAUGAGCUUUCCAAAUGCCAAACCAAACGCACCCAUUGAUUAAGUGCCGUGGCGAGUGGAAGCUAACGAUUCGUCACACAAGUUCUUCGAGGUCAGUAAUGUCUGGAUCUCUUGCUACGAGGCAUUAGUCACAAUCUAGGGGGGGGGGGGGGGGGGAAUUCAACGAUGCGGCACAUGGAGUCAUUAUAUAUUCUGUGCCCUCUCUAUUGCACCCCAACUGCUCACGCUUGACUGAUUCCGAUAGCUUCUUUUCCUGCCAAAAUAUAAUGGAGGGCUUGUGAAAGGUCGAAAAGAACAUUAACAAAAGUUUGAUGGAGUCACGAACUAAUUGAACACGCAACAUCACUAAAUAUCGUAGCGAUAAGAUGUUACCCAUUUUCACUUGAAUUAUCAACAUGGUAGUGGAUUGAAAUAUUAUAUUCAAGGCCGGUUCGUCUGUGUAUCUUUGUGCAUGCUGUAUCUCACAUUAAUUGCGCUUUGAGCGGUUAGGUAUGGAAGGCAUAAAGAGAACCAAAUGCCUACGUCCUUCCUCACGUCACCCGUUGUCCUACAAGGGACGGGCUUUGCACCAACACGUUGGAUCCUCAAUCUACCUCAACCACAAGUACCGGUUGCAGACGUUCGUCUUAUUUUUCCAUGCACUGCACGAUUCUCUCUCUCACUAGAUAUCACAUCGCCGACACAAAAGUUUGAAUAAAUGAAUAGAGAUUUAUGAGAGAGCUGGACCUAUGUUCAAUCUACCUCAACCACAAGUACCGGUUGCAGACGUUCGUCUUAUUUUUCCAUGCACUGCACGACUCUCUCUCUCUCUCACUAGAUAUUAAAUUGCCGACACAAAGUUUGAAUAAUUGAAUAGAGAUUUUUGAGAGCUGGACCUACGUUGAAUCCACAAGACAAAAGAAUAUGAGUGCCCAUUCAAUUUUUUAAAGUGAAUGAUUGAUUUUGUCCAUCAUGUUAUAAUGAUAUGAAAUCUAUAUUAUUGGCAUUUCAUUUGUGAAUAACGAUAUCGUGGUCCCAUGAUUUUGCCUCCAUCCAUAUGUUACCAUUGAUGGAUGUCCCUAAAUAGAUGUAGCUUACAUAUCUGAUGUGGUUCGGUCUCUAAGUGGGACUUUGCAUCUCGAGAAAAGACUUUACCUCCAAAAAUUUCCACCUAAUGAAAAUAUUGUUUGGUAAUCAAUGUAAAAUAUACUUUUAAAAGCAACUUUGGACUGACAAGCCCUAUCUUCUCUCCCAAACCCCAACCCCCUUAAAUUCAUUACAACCGUUGCCACCACUUACCGGCGGCCACACCACCAUCCAGACCAGACCGAGACCUCCCCUUGUCCACUGAGAAAAUAUUGUAUGGUCUCGGAACGCCAGGUCACCGUGCACCCCAACCAAUGAGAAAGUGACGCGUGGCUCCACGUGAGCACGAGCGGCCCCACUGAUUUUUCUGCACAAAAUAUAUUAUUUUCCCUUUUCUAUUUAAAAAUUUACUGUCAUCAUAGACUUGUUGCUGCUUUUUUCUCUCUUUAUCUUUUUUUGGAGUAGGCCUGCACGCAUUAAUGGCGCUUUCUCUCUCCUCCUUUCUGAAGAACCAAUGGCCUUACGCUACAGCUUCCCUUCCCUCCUUUCUUUUCUUCUCAAUUCAAAAUUUUGGGUGAGAAUUCACUCUCUACGUUGCGUUGCUUCUCCGGCUUGUUCCGGGGUUGGGUCAUCUUUGCUCUCUGGCCCAAAGCACGUUGCUCCUCCGCCUUGCUCCGACGCUCACUCAUCUUCGCUCUCUGCCCCAAAGCUUGUUGCUUCUUCGGCCUACGUCAUUGUGUUCUUUCUCCGCCUUGCUCCGGUGUGGUUUCCAAGCGCAAGAUGGUGAGGAAUGUUCUUGCUGUAAGUCGCAGACUCCAAGCGACAAGAAGUUGCAGCUCUCUCCGAUUUGGCUUCGGAUUUGCUACGUUCGUGGCUCGUAACGGUGAGUGUUUUUUUUUUUUAAUUUAUUUUGGUUGGUAUAACAGUGAGUUGAUUUGGCGAAUGCUUGCUGUAACCGGCUGCACAAGCUGCUGGUGAAGAAGAUGGAGGGUUGGACCGGCAUGUGUAGCGACAAAGGUGGAGAGAGCGAGUGGAGGAAGGUGAUGGAGGCGUCGUGCGGAAAGAUGGACGAGGAGGUUGGAGGGAAUGGGGGGGACGCGUCGAUGAGGAUGGCAAGGUCGACGGUGGUGGUGGCAGUGGUGGGUAAGGAGGUGGCGAUUUGAAACUUCCAAUACGAUUCAAUCGUUUCAGGCGAUCGAAUUUCUAUCAUUUCAUUUCAUCCAAAUGAGAUCAUAAAUGAGGAGAGUUAUGGCUUUCGGCAUUUUGUAAGUUUGACAAUAAAGAGUGCCUGAGUGAUAUGGUUCCUGAUCAGUUUUUUUUUUUUAAGUGACAAAUGCACUAGACGUAUUAAAAUUUAUCAUGAAAAUAUAAUAAAGUCUUAAAAUUUCUAAGAUUUAAUGGAGUUUUAAAAUUUAUCACAAAAAUAUAAUCAAGUCUUAAAAUUUCAAAGUUUUAAUCGAGUCCUAAAAUUUCAAAGCUUUGUAAGUUGUCUAAUUAACGGAAUGGAAAGCAUAUUAAAUUUGGAGGAUGAGCAUAGUAAUUGAAGAACGCCACCGCCUGUACGCGCUUCAUAAUUGACCGACUUGGUGGGCAUACGGUUUGUUGAGCACGAUGUUGAGGAGGUUUCGCUGGAUAGAUCUUAAGGAAGGAAUUCCGCAUGAACAUGAUAGGAUCAAACUUGUCCUGAUCUUACACUUGGUUUUCGCUUAAGGAUUCUCUCGUAUAAUGUCAUGAGUCGUAACGGCUAGAGUUAUAUGCGGUGAAAUUGACGAGGUUUAUACAAUUUUUUUGGCACGUUGAGAUUCAUUUGGUAACGUUUCUGUUUCGAAAAAUAAUUUUUUUUUUCAAAAAUAAUCCUUUUCAAUUUCUAUUCAUCGGAAUAAUUUUUUUUUUUUUAUAAAAAAAGACGUUUAGUAACUAUACAAAAUUUCUAUUAUCAAAAUAGUAAAAGAAUAGGAAUAUAUUCGGUACAAUUGACAAAAUUUAUUAUAAUGUAGAAUUUCUUUUCCUUGGGAUUCAUUUAGUAAAGCUUCUAUUUCGGGAAAUAAUUUCUUUUCAAAAAUAGUCGUUUUUAUUUCUAUUCCCCUAAAUAACUUCUCAAUAAAAGAACGCGUUUAGUAACUAUACAAAAUAUCUAUUAUCGGAAUGGUAAAAUAAUAUGAAUAUAUUUGGUACAAUUCACAAAAUUUAUUAUAAUGUAUAAUUUCUUUUAAUUUUUUCCUUAUUCUUCCUUACGGCCAUUGCCGAUGACCACCAAUGACGCCGCCUGCCACUCGUCACCAUCGGUCGCCGUGGAUCUGUAGUCAACCGCGGUUGUUGGUGGUAGUGAACAACGGGUAGCGGCAAUCGGUGGCGGCAGGUGAUGUCGUUGGUGGUCAUCCAUGGUGGGGGUGGUCGGCGGCAGCGACAUCGACAAUCAUUGGCGGCGACAACGUUUGGCAACGACAACAGUAGGUCAACAAUGGUGGGCAACGAUGGUUGGUUAGCGGUAGGUGACAAACGAUAGAGGGGGGUGGUAGUCGAUAAAGAAGAAAAGAAAAUAAGAAAAUAACUUAUUUCUAUAAAUUAUUUUCGAGAAUAAGAAAUUACUUUUUUCUACUUCUUGUUUUUAUUCCAAAUCUAUUCCUCAACCACUUUUCUAUUUCAGGGAUCAAAAAAAUUAAUGACGUUACGAAACGGAUUUUUAUUUUUUUUUGUUCUGAGGAACAGAAGAAUAGAAAUUAUGAAAAUAGAAACGUUCCCAAAUAGGGUCUUGAUGGUUAGAUGGGAUAAGAACAAACGAUAAUAUGCCAAUUUGCCGACUAGAAAAUGAUAUAUUGUAUCUUGCAGCAAUGUGCUCCAUCACUAAUUGUAAAAAAGAAAAUUAUCAAAACAAUUCUAAACUUAUUGCAAUUUUUUUAAUUUAAUCAUAAUUUUUUUUUGUCAAUUCAAUUUUAAAUAUUUUGCAUUUGUGCUAAUUCAAUCUAUCCUAUAAAUUUUGGUAAACGGGUGCUAAUAUGGAUGCUAGUCAACAAUGGCUAUUUAGUCAACGCUGAUAUGUCAAUUUUUAAUAUAUAUAUAUAUAUAUAUAUAUAUUUUUUUUUUUUUUCUCUCUAUUUUUUUUCUCUUUUCUUCUUCUGUUGGCUAGUAGCUAGAGGUUAGGGCUAGUGAGGUCGACCUCACGAUGCUAGCCAAGGUCUCGCCUAGCCAAAUUUGGGCAAUCUCAACCUUGCCUAGCGAUAACGAGACUAGCCUUUACCUUUUGCCCUUGUUGUUGUGGUGCUGGCUAAGGUCUUGCCCAACUAGAUUUGGGUGAGGACGAGCCUCACCAUGGUUGGGCAAGCUCGACCAGCCCUCACCCUUGCCGACAUGGAGCUUGCCAAGCCAUAUUUGAGCGAACUAAACCUUGCCCUCGCCACCCCCUAGUCCAACCAAUGAGAUUGACUUUGCUGGCCUUAGUCUUUGGAUAGGUGAGAAGAAGGAUAAAAGAGAAAAUGAAAAAUUAAAUAAACUAAAAAAUUGAAACGAUUGAGGACAUAAAUAUUAAAUUUUUUAAAAUUGAAUUAAUAAAGGAAUGAUUAGGGUCAAACCGGAAAAAAUGCAAUAAAAAACUUGAUGAUGACUUGAGUAGAAAAUGUGAUGAAGUCAGCAACAUGCCUUUUCGGAAUUGGCGUGCCGUUGUUAGUCAAUAUGGCGAAGUCCUUUUUUUUUUUUUAAGUUUCUUUGGUCAAUAAAGACAGCUUCUUCACGCUGGCCAAAGAGGAAUUUGUGGUGACUAAGGGCGCGUUUGGUAAUAAUUUUAUUCCCAAGAACAGAUUGUGAUAUGGAAUGAUUAUUUUUUAUUUUGUUCCCGAGAACAAUUUCUAGGCAUUUUAAACUGCUUGGUAACUAUUCAAAAUUUCUAAUUCUGGAAUAGAAUUGCGUUUAGUAUCGUACUCAUUAAUUCUGUUCCAAAUCAAUUUCUUUUAAUUUUUAAAUAAUUUUUUUUACUUUUUACUUUUUUACUUUUUUUCCUUUUUCUCAUAUUCUUCUUCUUCUUAUGGCCGAUCGCCGAACCCGGCGAUCGGCCAGACGAGGGCCGGCGACCUCACCGGACCGUCACCAGCCCUCGUCGACCGAGCCUUGCCAAUAGUUGGGCAAGGCUCACCCAGCCCUGCCGAGGCUUGGCCUCGCUGGUGGCUAGGCGAGCCCCGCCUGGCCACCGGCUCACCUGGCCACCGGUGAGGCUUGCCCAAGCUCGGCCACUAGCGGGGCUGGGCGUUGCGAGGCAAGCCUCGCCGGGGCCAAGCGGGCCUCGCCCAGCCACUGACGAGCUCGCCGGACCGAUUCCGGCGACCGGCAGCAGCGUACGGUGGGGGACGGCGGUGAACGGUGGCGGUGGGAUGGCGGUCGAUGGCGGUGGGACGGCAGUCGAUGAAGAAGAAGAAAAGAGAAGAAGAGAAAAUAUCAGAAUAAAAAGAGUUGGUUUUGAUUCUUUGAUUUGUUUCCGGAACAAAAAUCAACUUUUUUUUUUAUUCUUGAUUCUGUGCCAAAUCUACAUUCGGGAACAAAAAAUUUACCAAACGCGAUUAUGUUCCAAAACUACUCCCGAAAACAAAAAAAUCAGAAUCGGGUACUAUUUGGAUGAUUACCAAACAACCCCUAAGUAGUUUAAUAUUGUGCAACAAGCAUCUUUGAUGCGCCACCAUCAUAGCUCAACUUUAGUUCUUGUUCUGAUUUGACUGUCUGACUCACAUGAUUUAUGCCCGGACAUAACCGUGGGAUUAAUUUAUACCAAGGCCAGUCGAAUGUUAUACCACGUUUGGCGCAAUGAAAUAGAACGGGAAAAAAUAAAACAUAGUUGAGGAAGGAAUGGAAUAGAAGAAGCAUUAUAAUUCUUGUAGUUGCUUGUUACGAUGGAAUAAGGUAAAAGGAAUUUGUCGAUUCCUUUUUUUGGGUUGAAAAAAAUUGAAAUGGAAGGAAAUGGUAUCGAAAUGUCUAAAUAAUCUCAAAAAUGUAUAUAUGAGGAAGAAAAUAAGGGAAGCGCUCAAAGUAAUUAUUGUGAUGAUGUUAUUAUUAUCAAGGUCAUUUUCAUGGGUGGAGCCUUGAAGUGGGCAUUUUUCCUCUUAUUUGGUGGAAUGCUCAUGUUAUGCAAGGAGGUUAUGCUCAGGGUCAAAGGGGUUAGCUUGCGAUAUACGAAACAACAAUAGACAGCAAAUAAAAAUGACAUAUCAAGAAAACAGUUGCCAAUAAAUGAGCAAUAUAGAUCGGCCUUAGUAGCAGGAUUGUUCGUAAGUACUUAUGGAUAGAGAAAGUAGCAGUAGGACGGAUGAUCACUUAUGUCAUCUAAACUUAGAAUUUUCCAGUCUUGGUUAGCUGUCAACACAUUCAAUUAUGUCUCCUCUCUCCUUCAAUUGGGUUGAGUUGCAUAUAAAGUUUACUCUUAUUUUAUGAUAAUAACAAUUCAUGUUUUGAAGUUAAUUACUAUAUGGCUUUCUUAAUACUAUUGUUAUGAAUAUGCAUUCUAAAUCUUUCAGAAGAAAUAAUAGGGGAAAUGUAAUUACGCUUGAAAUAAAUAUUCAUAUUGGAAUAAUUUUGUUCUAUCGAACACAAUCUCAUUUGAACAACAUGAGACAAAACACAAAUUGUAGAAAGACAAAUCCGAAUACAAUAUAACACGGUACACAAUUUCAUAUAUUAAUAAGAAUUAAUGUAUAUAAUAAUUUUUCAUCCUAAUUCAAUUAUUCAAUAUUGGUGGAGGAAAUUAUGAGAAUUGCUUCCAAUUAUUGAAUGCCAAUAUUUUCUCACCAGUUAGGCCCAACCGUACCACUUUCCCUUCACGUGGCUAGUACUUCUAGUUCUUAAUGAAAAGACGCAAACCAAGAACGGAUUUGCCUAUUCAUCCCGCAUAGACAGACAUCAUCAAGUCUUUUAUGGUCGAAAGACAUCAUCAAGUUAAGACGCACGAUACCUUAAGGAAAGAGACGGGGAGCGCCUAGCAGAAGAGAGAUAGGGAAAAUGGAAGAGGAAGCAGGGAACUUCAUCAACGUGUGGCUCACGGUCCUCUCGUGCGUGUGCUACUACUACUUCGUCUCCUCUAGCCUCCUGCCGGGCAAGCUCCGGCUCUUCUCUCUCCCCCAUCUCUCCCUAUAGCUGUGCUCCCCUCGGCUCUCCACUGUCCUCCCACCGGCAUCACCUCUUCUUCAUCACCUAGCUCGCCUCCUUCAAGCUCCUCCUCUUCUCUUUCGGCAAGGGCCCCCUCUCCUCCAGUCUCGAUUCCCAUCCCGACCCAUCAAAGUCCCUCUUCCUCUUCAUACUCUUCACAUGCUUCCCUAUCAAAAUCAAGCAAGCGCAAGACUACCCUGUUGGAUGCAAAUCGCGCAAUCCCAAGAUCUCCAUAACCAUAACAAGAACAUGCAUAAUUGAGUAAAAAGAUUAAUGUACCUAUUUUGGGAUCCAUCGUUCUUGAAGCGAAAGUGGAAACACAAUAUUCCACGUGUAAGUCAUUCUCCUCUAUUGCCCUCCAUAUCACUGGCUCAAUGAGGCGGUCCCCUCACAUUUAGCGUUAGAUAAACACUCCUUAGGUGAUGAUACAUAUGAGAAUUAGGGUUAGAUGAGAGACUUGAGCACUAUUUAUAGAGUUUCCAGCCAUGCCCCCUCAUUAUAGGCCAGGCUCAACUCGGCCCACACUAGCCAACCCCAUAUUAGACUAAUUAAGAAACAUUUUAUCUCACCUUAUACCAACCAUGUUUUACGGUAACCGUAAAAACAGUAAAUUAUAAUAUCAAUUAAUGUAGUCCACAUUAGGAGAACUCUCACAUUCUCCCACUUGGACUAUAUUAAUUGAAAUCAUACUGUAUAUGUGUACAUUUGGUCCAGAGAUAAUUCUUAAUAGUCAAUCAUAUCCCAUAAAGUCUUAAACACUGAAUCAUUGCGGCAAUUGCAUGUAUACACACAAAGCCUUCCAUGGUCACGAGUGCUCUCUGAUAUAGCUAGUAUAAGUACCUAGAGGGGGGGUGAAUAGGUAUAACAAGUAAUUUCUAAUGAUUAUCGCACAAUACUAGACAGUUGAUAGAAAUGAGACAACUUUUCCUCGUCAACAAACAAACAACGAUCAAAGUAAGAUUGAGAGUAGGGAAGAGAAAAUUGAACACGCGGUUUAUAGUGGUUCGGCUUAUUUCAAGCCUACGUCCACUCUUCUGCACUGACAGCCCACUGGCUGGAUUCCACUAUGAACAAAGAGAUAUUACAGUACUGUUCUUCCUUGAUUUCUUGGUGUAGAAGAUCUACCACACUCUCUCAAGGUAUCACAAAGUAUAAACUCUCUUUGUGUGUACAGUUUUGCUCAAUAUGAAUCGACUAAUAAUCAAAGAGUUUCAGACUCUGGAAUUUCUCUAUCGAGCACACACUAGAAUAACUGAAACGUCUUCUUUUUAUACUCAUUUAUGCCAUCAUACCCGUUGGCACUUACCAAAGGAAUUCUUCCAAUCUUCCCGUUGGACAGAAUCAAUUAAGAAGGUCAUUCGAGCUAUUUAAGGAACAUGUCGAUAGCCCAUCAAUCAUGUUCGCCCAUACAAUCAGGAUCUUGGUUUCCAAGAAUAGAACCUUCCAAGAAUAUUUCGUCAAUCAUCGGAUCUUCAAACGAUCUUGAUUUCGAAUAAAUAAUCCGAUGUAUCAAAUCCAGCCAAGAGAUCUUCUCCAGACGAUAAGACCAAAUCCUUAACCAAACACUUUAGCUCUGGAUCGUCUUCGUCACUGGAUUAGAAACUGUCAAUGAGAAUAGUCUUGAGUCUUGAGUCUUGUGUGCUGAGUUUGGUGAUUUGAAAGUCUUCAGACUCAAAGUACAAGGGUCUGCACAGCUUCCAGACUGGACUGAUAGAAACGUUUUGUCAGCUUCAAAACACUCUAGAGAGAUUUCUCCAACAAUCUCCCCUUUUUUGAUGGUGACAAAACUUUCCUGUAGAUUUGAACAACUUUGACCUGCAAAAGCAUUUACUCAAGCAGUAUGGAUAUCUCAUAAAGAUUAAUAACUCAACUAGACUCUGCAUCCACAGAAAAUAGGUUAGUCUUUCAUGAGUAAAGACAUACAAUAACACUUGAUAUAAAUAAUGCAACAGUCAAUUUCAAAUCCACAUACUCAAGUCAGUCAAAUUCACCAAGUCCACCACACCCAAGUCAUACUCAAAAAUAAAUAUCCAAACAAACUGAAAUUAAAGAUAGAUAAAAUCAAAGUUAUCAAAGUUCAGUUCAAAGCUGGCAAUUCUCCCCCUUUUUGUCAUCAUUAAAAAGAUGAGAAAGAGUCAAGUCUGCUUGGGAAUGCGCACAAUCUGGAAAUCUCCCAUCGACUGUACGACGCCUUCCAGCCUCUUCAAGUCUUCCCUUAGACGAGUCACCUCUACUUCUUUGGCAUUUACUUGAAUUUGACGAGCGAGGUCUUGCAUUUGAUCCGACAGGGUAGCAGAAGACGCUUGUCCAGCAUUCUUCAUGACUUGAAAUUCACAUUCCAAAGCAUAUAUUUGACCCUGCAUUUCCAGAAGAAGAUCAAGGAUACGACGAAAAUCUAUGGUAUUGUCCAUCUGUGUGCUGGCAUUUGCUCUAUCAGAUGGAGUAAAGGAAGACGAUGGAACUUCGGUGUAAUUGCGCAAAUUUGGCGUUGAGGUGUCAUGUCCUUCCUCAGGCAUUUGAGAAGUCUGAAUAUCUUCUGAAUUUGCUUGCGAGCGACUCACACCUUCACUGUGAUCAGGAAAUGGUGUAGUCCUUCUUUGCUCGUCAUCUCCCCCUGUUUCUAAGGCCUCCAUUAGGGAAGAGUGAUGGUCAUGCUCAGUAGAAUCUUGAUUGUCUUUUUCUCCAGCUUCAUCUACAGACUUUUCUUUGACUGCUUCUUCUUCUUCUUCUUCAACUUCUUUCUCCUCUUCUUCUUUUUCUUUCUCUUCUUUCUCCUCUGCUUCUCUCUGUUCUUGCUCCUCUUCUUCUUUUCUUUUCUCCUGUCGUUCCAUUGAUUCGAAUACAGAAUGACUGAGUCUUUUCAAUGCCAAGGCAGAGAUAGUGAGUUCAUCCUCUUCAUCUUCAUCCUCUAAGAUUAGAGCUCUUUUCUUUUUGGAUGGAGCACCCAUGGGCUCCUUCCCUUUCCUUUUAGACGCAGAAGAGAUUGGAUGAGAUUUAACUGGAGUUUUCACUUUAAACUUCUCCAUUGCCUUAUCAAGCUCUUUCAAACGCAUUUUUUUCAGCAUUUUCAAACCCACCACCAUUUUGUCACAUGGUCGAACACAAAGAGUCUGUGGAGGUUCAAUGUUCAAGUGUCUGAAGAUUUUAGUCACAAGACAUGAGUAAGGCAACUAGCCCUUAUCCUUCACCAUUGCUCUGUAAUUGUGGAAGAGAAUGGUGUGAGGAAGAGAGAACUUCUUCCCUGAAUUGAUCGCGUACAUCAAUUUCGCCUCAGAAUUAGACACGUCUGUCUUGGAUGUUGAUUUUGGCCUGAGACAGUUGAUCACAAUUUUGUGCAGUAAGAUGUUGAUGGCAUGCAUUCUUGCGUAGGUAACUCUUCCUUCUGUACUCUUGUCUUUGACAAGUUCCAGUGUGGUACGAGCGAUUGAAACCUUGAUCGGUUGAUAUCGUCCUCUUUCAACUCCAAUUAUGUUUGCCAACAUGUCCACAUCUACCUCAUAGUCUUGGUCUCGAACACUGAAGGAUAUUCUAUUCGCAUCUAAAAAGCUAAAUUCGAAUAGAAAUAUGCUGUCAAUUGUGCAUAGCCGUCUGUGGUGUCAGAGCAAAAUUGCUCUAGUUGAAACAGAUUGAACUUCUCCUUUAAGUUCACAUUGAUGGCAUCCAGAAAAUCAAAAUCAACGCUCCUGGGGUUUAUUACCCCCCGUUUCAACAAUUUGAAGAACAGAUCCUCCUGUUCCUUUGAUUUGAACAACUCCGUUCUUUUUCCCAUUACUUUCGCAGCAACACCCAUCCUGGGUUGGAAUUCUCUAAACAGUUUAUCAUCGUCAUUCCCGUCAGUCGGAUUAAAUCCUUCUACACGAGGGUCACUUGGAAUGUUCGCAAGUGCUUCCUCAGCCUUUCCUUUAGAAGCAAUUCCCAAAUCCUCCAUCCGUCGCAAAAAGAUAUACUCAUUUUUAUACCCUUUGUCUUUAAGGAAGGCAUCCACAUAGUUCAGUGGUGUACCUAUGCUUUUCAAGGCACGAUAGAGCUUGUAAAUAAAAGAGGGUUUUUGAACUCUUACAGGGUCUGCUUCCUUGAUUAUUUCUUCCUGUGAUAGUUGAUCCACACUUUGUGGGGUAGAUAAUGGAGAUUGACGUGGCUGAGAGUGAAUCGGGCUCUGUUGCUGUCUCGGUAACUAUUCUUCCUCGGUGAGAUCGAAAUGGGUAGGACCCUCCCUCAUUCUCUGUGGUCCCCUGCUUGUGAUUCUUGAAGACCUUCUAGAAGAAGACAUCGUUUCUUGUCGUUGAAAGAUUCCUUGACUCGCUUUCCCAAGAAAAGAUGACAACUUUCUCGAAGAUGAACACGAAAUCGAGACAGGAUUGGGAGCCUUUUUAGGGUUUUGGAGUUAAGCGAAGAAGACAACUUACUGUAUAUAACCCAGUUAAAAAAGGGAAAACCAAUCGACACAAAGGAAAGUGAACAGUCGUCCUCUUUUUAAAAUCGAUAACUGCCUUUUUAAAUAGAGGUUAUCUUUUUGAAAUGACGAGAAUCCGUUUUUCUCGGAAAUGAAACAUAAAUCAAAUAUAACUGAACAAAUGAUCGUACCUUUUCGAGAUUGAAUAUUAAAACAACUUACAGUCUAUGGCCGUGAAUGAUUGAGUCUGAGAGUCUGAGAGUCUCUAGACUUUGAUUUCCUCAAGCUUCAAAAUGUUGAGUCUAGAACGAAUGAUAUCGAAUUGAUUCUUCUCCAAGGGCUUUGUGAAUAUAUCCGCUAGUUGGCUCUUUGACUUAACAAAUUGAAUCGAGAUUUCUCCAUUUUGAACAUGAUCUCUAAUGAAGUGAUGGCGAAUCUCUAUAUGCUUUGCCCUUGAGUGAAGGAUUGGAUUUUUAGUAAGAUUGAUUGCGCUGGUGCUGUCACAUCUAAUCUCAGUGCAUGAGUCUUCAAUUCCAAAGUCUUGUAGCUGUUGUUUUAUCCACAGAAUUUGCGAACAACAACUUCCAAGAGCUACAUACUCUGCUUCUGUUGUAGAGAGAGCCACAGUGUUUUGUUUCCUUGAAAACCAAGACACUGUCCUGUUCCCAAGCAAUUGGCAAGUUCCCAAGGUGCUCUUUCUAUCAACUCUGCAACCGGCUAGAUCUGCGUCUGAAUAUCCAAGAAGAUUAAAGUCUCCUUUCUUAGGAUACCAAAGACCGAUGCUUGAAGAUGAAGCAACGUAUUUAAUAAUCCGUUUCGCAGCACUGAGAUGAGAUUCUCUAGGGUCUGAUUGAAACCUAGCACAGAUGCACACACUCAACAAAAUGUCAGGUCUAAAGGCAGUAAGAUAAAGAAGUGAACCGAUGAUACUCCUGUAUAGCUUUUGAUCAACUUUCUUCCCUUCUUCAUCUUUGUCUAUCUUCAAGGAACUUGACAUUAGUAUGUCGAUCUUUUUGCACCUUUCCAGUCUAAACCUUUUGAUAAGAUCAUUAGCAUACUUUUCUUGAUGAAUGAAAGUUCCUUCCUUCAAUUGUUUUACUUGAAGUCCAAGAAAGAAGGUUAACUCUCCCAUCAUACUCAUUUCAAACUCAUCCUGCAUAGACUUAGAGAAUUUCUUGCACAGACUUUCAUUAGAGGAUCCAAAAAUAAUAUCAUCCACAUAUAUUUGAACAAGUAAAAAGCUUUUGUUUUCCUUUUUGAUAAAUAGAGUAGUAUCUACUUUACCUUUGACAAAACCAUUCUGUAUUAAAAACUUACUUAGUCUGUCGUACCAUGCUCGAGGUGCUUGCUUUAAACCAUACAAUGCCUUUUUCAGUCUGAAGACUGAGUCUGGUUUCUUUGGGUCUUCAAACCCUGGUGGUUGUUCCACAUAAACUUCCUCAUGGAUAAAUCCAUUUAGGAAUGCACUUUUGACAUCCAUUUGGAAUAACUUGAAAUUUUUAUAAUAAGCAAAAGCAAGCAAUAAUCGAAUAGCUUCUAACCUUGCUACUAGUGCAUAGGUCUCAUCAUAGUCUAUCCCCUCUUCUUGCGAAUAUCCCUUGGCCACGAGUCUUGCUUUAUUUCUUACGACUUUUCCUUUCUCGUUCAUCUUGUUCCUGAAAACCCAUUUAGCUCCAAUAACAGAUUUACCUUUCGGUUUAGGAGUCAAUUCCCAGACAUCAUUGAUAUUGAAUUGCCUGAGCUCUUCUUGCAUAGCUUCAAUCCAGCUUUCAUCUGAUAAAGCUUCUUAUAUGCUUUUGGGUUCUAUUUCGAAAACAAGUGCCACAGCACUAGACUCUUCACGCCUUUUGGAUUUGGUGCAAAUUCCUUCAUUAAUUUCGCCAAUAAUGAGAUCUUUGGGGUGACUGGACUUAUGCUUCCAGUUACUGGUUGAUUUGUCUGAUUGAUGAUCUCUUUCUUUACUUGAAUCUUCACGAACAAUUUGAUGCUGGUCUUCCAGAGUCUGAGAUGCUUCUUGAGUUGUAAGCUUUGGAAAGUCUGGAGCAGGUUCAGACUCUUCAUGUUGAGUCUGACUGGAUUCAUUUUGCAUUGAAUCUUGAAAUUUGACAUUCAUUGAUUCCUCCACUGAUUGACUCUUCUUGUUAUAGACUCUGUAGGCUUUGCUUGAUGUAAAAUAUCCAAGGAAGAUGCCUUCAUCCGAUCUUUCUUCAAACUUACCAACUCGAUCUUUUGCAUUUUUCAAUAUAAAGCAUUUGCAACUGAACACAUGAAAGUACGAAACAAUAGGCUUCUUACCUUUGAAUAACUCAUAAGGGGUUUUCUCUAAAAUAGGUCUUAAAAAGACUCUAUUUAUGAUAUAGCACGCUGUUGAAACAGCUUCAACCCAAAAUUGUGAAGAAAUCUUACUUUCAAUUAAAAGAGUUCUAGCCAUUUCUUGAAGAGAUCUAUUCUUUCUUUCCACAACUCCAUUUUGCUGAGGAGUGUAUGGAGAGGAGAACACAUGCUUGAAGCCAGAUUCAUCACAAAAUUUUGUAAAAUCUUGAUUUUCAAAUUCACCUCCAUGGUCUGUUCUUAUACUUGAAAUAACAUAUCAUUUUUCAUUUUGAACCUUUUUAGCAAAUUUUUCAAAAUACGAGAAGGUUUCAGACUUACUCGCAAGGAAAUAUACCCAAGUAAAUCGGGAGUAAUCGUCCACGAUUACUAGGCAAUAUUUCUUACCUCCAAUGCUCUGGGUUCUGGUUGGUCCGAAGAGAUCCAUAUGCAGCAGCUACAGUACAUGAUUAGUAGAGACAUGAUUUAUUGGCUUAAAUGAAUUUUUUACCUGCUUUCCCAAUAUACAUGGGGUGCAUAGAUCAGACUUUUGGUAUGAUAAAUUGGGUAGACCACGAACAAGCUGCUUUGAUGAGAUUUUGGCUAACUGCUUCAUAUUAAUGUGACCAAGCUUUCUGUGCCACAAGCUUGCUUCGUCUUGAAUUGAAAUUAAGCAUUGCGAUUCAUCCGAUUUCACAUCCAGAAGAUAGAUAUUUCCAUGCCUUCGACCCAUGAAAGACUGAGUAGAGUCUUUACUGGUUCCAGAACAUAUUCCUUCUUGAAAGAAGAUCUUAAAACCAGUAUCACAUAGUUGGCUGAUGCUAAGAAGAUUGUAAUUGAGUCCUUCUACUAGGGAAACAUUACUUAUUGUGAGAUUUCCAAUUUUCACAGUUCCAAAUCCCACAAUCCUUCCUUUGUUGUUUCCUCCGAAUGAGACUUUUCCACCAUUUACUUAAACGAGCUUUAUAAAGCAAUUUGAGUCUCCUGUCAUAUGUCUUGAGCAUCCACUGUCCAGUUACCACUUUACCUUUUCUUUUACGGAGACCUGCAUUUAAAAGAGAGUCUCAAGCUUUCUUUGGUACCCAUAUUUUCUUGGGUCCAUUGGUGUUAGUAAGAUAAACAGUAUUAGCCCAUGUUUUCUUAACAGGUUUCCAAACCAUAGGACACUCUUUUUCAAAGUGAUCUGGGCUAUUGCAUUUUGAACACGUGAGAGCAUUUCGACCUACAGACUUUACGAAAACCUUCUUGAAAUGAUUUUUGUAGGCCAAUCUUGAGGGUCUUUGCUUGAUUCUUUCUUUUACUUUAGAAAAAUCAAUCAAGGGAAUAGUUUCCGCAGUCAUACCUAAGCCAGACUUAUUGAAAUAAGGUCUUUGAGCUGAAAGAAUUUUUUCAAGUUUCUCGGACCCUAUUGAAAAUUUCUUUGAAAUAUUUGAUGAGUCAAUUUUUAAAAGAGCAUUUUCUUUCAAAAGAUUUUCCUCACUUUCUUUAAGAGUAGAAACAUUCAUGUCUAAACAUUUAACUUUUUCCUUCAACACAUUUUCUUGUUGUUUUAGAACAAUAUUUUCCUUUUUAAGUUCGGAAAUCCUUUUAAGAGAAGUCUUAAGGCUAAAACACAGCUCAUCAAUAUACUUAGAAAUCUUGACAGGAAUUUUAAAAUUACUUACCUCAAAUUCACUAUCUGAGUUUGAUUCAGAGUUUGAGUCUAAGUCUGAUUGCGCCAUUAGACACAAAUUGGCAUAUUCAUCAUCACUUUCUUCGCACUCUGUAUCACUCCAGAUUUUGGCUUUGAGAGCCUUUCGAGACUUUUCAGCUUUUCCUUUCUUCUUCUUUAGAAGAGGACAGUUGGGUCUGAUGUGUCCCUUUUUCUUACAUUCAAAGCAAACUAUAUCUUUCUUUGAUUCAUCAUCAUCAACAGACUUGGUCUGUUGUCUUUGAAAACUUUGUUUCUUUGAGUUGAAUCUUCUUCCUUUUCUAUUUAGCUUUCUGAAUCUUCUUAUCAUGAGAGCAAGCUCCUCAUCAUCCAUAUCAUCUUCAGAAUCUGUAACAUUAGAAUCAUCAUUUGAUUUUAAUGCAAUGGAUUUCUUACCUUUUGGAUCUUCGUCUUCGUUAAUUUGUUCCACUUCAUAAGACUGAAGAGUUCCAACCAGCUCAUCGACAGAUAGUGGCAUGAUUCUUUGCGUCUCUCUUAUUGAAGUCUUUAUGUGAUUCCAAUCCUUGGAGAGUCCACACAGUAGCUUGUUUACCUUCAUGGGAUCAGAAAUUGGUUGUCCUUGAUUUUCAAGACCAUUUACAAUUUCUGUAAAACGGCUAAACAUAUCAGUUAUAGAUUCUCUAGGUCUCAUUUUGAAAGCUUCAUAUUGUCCGAGAAGGAUGUUGAUUCUGGUCUCUUUUACUCGAUCAGUUCCUUCAUAGGUAAUAUGUAACCUAUCCCAGACUUCUUUUGCUGUAACACAAGAAGAUAUUCUGUUAUAUUGAGUAGGUAACAAGGCACAAUAUAAAGAAUAUAUAGCUUUUGCAUCAAGAGUUUGUCUCUUGAUUAUCUCUUCCUGAGACAUUCCGCUGGUCUCAACAGAUUCUUUCCCUCUUUCUGAGACGGAUGCAACUUUAGGAGUGAUUCCUUUUUUUCUACAACGUCCCAUUCCAGAGGAUCCUUUGAUCGAAGAAAUGCUUUCAUUUUGUUUUUCCAGAUGUUGUAGUCCUUUCCAUCAAAGUAAGGAGGUCUGGUAUUGCUUUGACCUUCCACCAGCCCUGGAGCUAGCAUACUAGCCAUGGAUCUUUUACUCUGAAGUAAAACACUUCAAAUAAAGUGAGUACACGAGCUCUGAUACCAAUUGAUAUAGCUAGUAUAAGUACCUAGAGGGGGGUGAAUAGGUAUAACGAGUAAUUUCUAAUGAUUAUCGCACAAUACUAGACAGUUGAUAGAAAUGAGACAACUUUUCCCCAUCAACAAACAAACAACGAUCAAAGUAAGAUUGAGAGUAGGGAAGAGAAAAUUGAACACGCGGUUUAUAGUGGUUCGGCUUAUUUCAAGCCUACGUCCACUCUUCUGCACUGACAGCCCACUGGCUGGAUUCCACUAUGAACAAAGAGAUAUUACAGCACUGUUCUUCCUUGAUUUCUUGGUGUAGAAGAUCUACCACACUCUCUCAAGGUAUCACAAAGUAUAAACUCUCUUUGUGUGUACAGUUUUGCUCAAUAUGAAUCGACUAAUAAUCAAGGAGCUUCAGACUCUGGAAUUUCUCUAUCGAGCACACACUAGAAUAACUGGAAUGUCUUCUUUUUAUACUCCUUUAUGCCAUCAUACCCGUUGGCACUUACCAAAGGAAUUCUUCUAAUCUUCCCGUUGGACAAAAUCAAUUAAGAAGGUCAUUUGAGCUAUUUAAGGAACAUGUCGAUAGCCCAUCAAUCCUGUUCGCCCAUACAAUCAGGAUCUUGGUUUCCAAGAAUAGAACCUUCCAAGAAUAUUUCGUCAAUCAUCGGAUCUUCAAACGAUCUUGAUUUCGAAUAAAUAAUCCGAUGUAUCAAAUCCAACCAAGAGAUCUUCUCCAGACGAUAAGCCAAAUCCUUAACCAAACACUUUAGCUCUGGAUCAUCUUCGUCACUGGAUUAGAAACUAUCAAUGAGAAUAGUCUUGAGUCUUGAGUCUUAUGUGCUGAGUCUGGUGAUCUGAAAGUCUUCAGACUCAAAGUACAAGGGUCUGCACAGCUUCCAGACUGGACUGAUAGAAACGUUUUGUCAGCUUCAAAACACUGUAGAGAGAUUUCUCCAACACUCUUAACUUUAUUGAUAUGGAUUCAAUAUGGUAGUGUGUCAAAUGAAUAACAUCUCUCAUAGAGAGAUCCCAUUUGUCAGUCACCAUUCUCUUACCUUAGGCGUCACAAAAAAACUUGUGGCACUAGAGAAUGUUUUUAUAGUUACAAUGAACUCACAUAUGUCUUGUCCUUACGGUUAAUCUUUCUUUAUCUAUCACAAGACAUAUGCACAAGACUAAUAACCGGAUGCCCCUAGUCUUCACUCAAGAUUUAUAUAGUACCUUGAAACUUUAUAAAUACGUAUUCAAUAUAAUAACAACACAUUCAAAAAUAUUUUAUUGAAUGCAAAAGUUGAUACAUAUCAAACCGUUACAAAGUGUAACGAACAUAGAUGAAACAUUUAUCUGAGUAAAGUCAAAAUAACUCCCACUAAACAACAGCAUCUCACGAUGCUCCUAGGCCCAUGCUAAUGACAUGUCGCUCAAAUACACAUGAACGUAGGCCUUUAGUUAGUGGAUCUAUAAUCACAUCAUCUAUAGAAAUAUGUUAUAUUAUAACGUCACAUUUUUGUACCGUUUCUUUAUGAUAAAAAAUUUUGACCGCCAUAUAUUUAGGCCCAUUGAGACCUCUAUAGUAAAUAAAUACUACUGCAAAUUUAUUGUCUCAAUACAACCAUAUGGGUCUAUCCAUAAAGUUAAAAACAGUCAACUCCUUCGUGAGCUUCCGGAGCCUAAUGGCUCAAGUAACAACCUAAAAGAAUGUUACAAACUCUGUUUACAUAGUAGAAGAUGCCAUAGAACUUUAUUUACUGCACUUAUUGUUAACAUAAAUAUGUAUUAUGUUAUUGAUCACAUAUCAUCUUAACAAACGACAAAAUUUACAUAUGAAUACCCUACUAGUUGUAAAAAUUGAACAUGUUUGUAAAUCAGCAUAUAAUCUCUUGUCUUAUUUAAGUACCUUAAAAUCUUCUUGGCAAUCCUGAAUUUAACUUAUACCUACCUAGAAGUCCCAUCGCAAAGACAAUAUUUAGUCUAGUGCAAAUUUGAGCAUACAUUAUACUUUCAAGUGCGUUGACACAAGGUACACCAUUUAACUAGAUUUUCUCAAUAUCUAAAUAAGGAUAAUGUAAUGGAUUCAGUCCACACCCUUAACGAAGGAACAAUUUCUGGCUUGCAAUGAUGUAUAUUAAAUAUUUCCAAAAUACAAUCAACAAAUGUCAUCUGAGAUAAAUAUAAUAAAAUCCAAUAUUUAUAUGGCGAAAACAAUGCUUACGGACCUCAGUAUAAAAGACAAAAGAUGCCUCAAGGUCACUACUUGUAAACAAAAUAUCAUGUAUAUAGAGUAUGAGAAAAAUAAAUUUCAUCCCACUGAUCUUGCAUUAUAUUGAAUUACUUUAUUCCCAAUUAAACAAAAUAACAACAUUAUGAAACUUUUAAUAAUAUUGUCUGGAAACUUUCUUAAGACUAUGAAUAAGACUUUUCAGUCUACACACAAGUUUACUUGAAUCUACUGCAAAAUCUUCCAGUUGCACUAUAUAGAUUUUGCAUCUAUUUGACGUAACUCCAUAUCAAAAAGAGCUAUUAAUGUCACGUUCACUCUGAAAGAAUCUUUAAAAAAUAUUAGAAAAGAAUAAUUAUUUCUUCACUAUUAAUUAUCCAGCCCUCUUUCAGAGUGAAAACAUUAGUUACCAUUUUGGCUUUAAAUUUCAUAAUCUUUCUUUGAAAUCCUUUUAGUUUUGUACGCCAAUUUGCAACUAAUUAACUUGUGAUCUUUAAACAAGUUAGUAAGUUUCCAAACAUUAUGAUGUUCAUAGAUUGUAUAUCAUCUUUUAUGGCAUCUAAUCACAUACUUGAUUGAGGAUAAAAAACAACAUUUAUUUAUGUUGCUAAAUUAACCAUGUAGUGGAUAUUGUAGUCAUGCUCUCACAAAUAGACUAUAUAAUCUAUCGAAAUAACUGAUCAUCUUUUCCUAACAAAUCUCCUGAAUAAAACUACAACCACUUCAUUCUAUACUUGAGAGGUUUAAAAAAAAAUUCAUUAUAAAUUAUAUCAAGAAUAGUACCUUAAACUUCAACAAGUUUAGUCUAUGGUACAUGAGAUUCCAUAAUUGUCUGUACCACAUUAUCUGUAUAGGGUAAAGACAAAGACAUAGUGAUUUUUCNNNNNNNNNNNNNNNNNNNNNNNNNNNNNNNNNNNNNNNNNNNNNNNNNNNNNNNNNNNNNNNNNNNNNNNNNNNNNNNNNNNNNNNNNNNNNNNNNNNNCCUUCUUUAGGGUCAUAAAAUUGAUAUCUAUUUUAACAAUCUGGGUAAGAUACAAAAUAAUUCUGAGUGGAUCUAAAUUCCAAUGCCACGACACCUCUAAAUUUCAUAUGAUUCAAGUAAUUUAUGUUUAGUCUAUAACUCAAAAGAAGUUUAUGAAACAACUUUUGUAUGUGAAAAUGUUGCUUUCAAAAUAUCAACCCAUAGAAGACCGAAGAAAUUAGUCUUACUAAUCAUACUCAUCACCAUGUUCAAUAUGGUGCAUUUAUGCCUUUCGGCCAAAUCUUUUUGUUAGAAUUUUCAAGCAUAGUAAUUAAGUUACCACCCUAGAAUUUACCAAAUAUUUGACAAAUGACCCUUUAAGUUAUUUCGCAUUGUUAUACUUGCCAAAAUACUUACGGCCACUAUUAAGCCUGACAACCUUUUAAGACUAAUUGUAAUUAUUUUAUUCUUUAUCUUGAUAAUUUUACUUCCACAGUAAUCUAUAGAAGUCUAUAGAUAACUGUUAAAAGUAGACAAACUAUCAACAUUGUCAACUUUUCUACUCUUUCUUUAGACAUGUGUGAAAUUAUUCCUUAAAUAGAAAAUUUUCAGAAACAACCUCUUUAACCAUAUACGAGAUGUAUAUGUCAUUAGGACUUAAACAUAAUCUUUGCAAAUGUGUCCUAAAUUCGAUAUUAGACAAGACAUAAUUACAAACCACUAAGGCUUCCAUCAUCUUAUAGCAGUGCAAUUCACAGGCAAACCACAUUUCAAGUUUCCUGAUUGGAACACUUCAUGGACAGUAAGCAAAUUUUAUUACUCUUUUCCCAAGCAGCAAAUCAUAUGUCUACUACUUAAAAUUUGAAGCAAUAAAAAUCUAAAUAAUAACGGAGUUAUUAAUUACAUAAAAUGUGAUUGAAAAAACAAGUAAUGUAUAUAAUUAGCAUCAUGUGAGUACCGUGUAACUUGAUGUACAAAUACACAUCUAGAGAGUUACACGCAUAAUCAUAUAAUCACAUUUGUGCAGAAUACAUGGCAUACAGUUGUACACUCCCCAUAUGAUAGCGAUUAUGAAAAUAUAUUCUAAUCUUUGUGAAUUUAUCACCUUUGGGAGUAUGAACCACAAGUAUGACCAUGCAUUAAAUCAGGAGACAUCUCAAUUAUUAUACGAGACCGAUAUUUCUCAAACCCAAUCAAGCGUGCCACUUUGGCGGUCACUACUCAAUUGAAUCCUUGAAACUCUCUCAUAUCAGGAAUAUAAACUUUACUUCUCAUAUACACCAUAUACAUGUGAUUUUAACUUUAAUGAUACGUGCAGCAUAUCACUGAAAUCCCAUAUGAUGCUAAUUACACUGCCUUAUUCAUUAAUAAAAAUUAAUCAUAUAUAUAUAACCUGAAAGACAGACUCCAAUGAGAUCACCAAUUACAGCAACACAAGAAACUUCUCAUAACAUAGAAGCAAUCAUCUCUUGUGCACCUCGAUUAUAGAUUACCAGAACAAUAUAAAAAGAAUGAUGAUCCAGAGAAUCUAUCAAAAGUUAACAUCAAUAGCAAUAUAGGGUACCACAGAUCGACAAGCCUAACAACUGNNNNNNNNNNNNNNNNNNNNNNNNNNNNNNNNNNNNNNNNNNNNNNNNNNNNNNNNNNNNNNNNNNNNNNNNNNNNNNNNNNNNNNNNNNNNNNNNNNNNAUAAGGCAAAAAAUGAAUCCAAGGCCAACAACUGAUUUAUUAACAAUUUUUUUUAAGUACCAAAUUAUCCAUGUAAUCAACUAGUGUCUAUUAAUUAAGUCAAACCAGAUAACCAAAUAUCUAAACCUUUAACAGUAAAUACUAUUGCUCCGCGUAAAUGUUAUCAUACUCCUAAUCAAUUAAAAUAGUCAAUUUAAUGGACAUUAACAAAUGACCAGAUGAGUUUAGAUACAAUAUGUAAUGACUUAAUUGAUAUACAAUACCCACAUUCAGCAGAUCUGUUAAUUAGUACAAUCAGUUUGGUCACAGGUUCUUAAGACGUCCAUCAUUCAAAGGUUACCAGCAUGUAAAGGAGUAUGCAUGAGUAACCAAAAGUUUCAUAACCUUUUGCCGUUUCUCAUCACUUCAAUACAUAAUUCAAUUACUAUCCCAUAAUGGUUGUAUCUCAUUAAGCCAGCUUCAAUUCACAAUAAAGUUUAAUUUUUAUUAAUGAAUCACACCAUUAUAAUGUUUAUGUGAUAACAUACCUGUAAUCCAACACUUAUAUUUCCAAAAUCACAGAAAAUACAAGAAAAAUACGCAAAAAUACACUAAAAAUACAUAAAAUCAUCAAACAUAUAAAAUAAAUACACCACAAGAUAGAGAAUGAACAUGCGAAUCCAACGCCGCCAGCCAUGCGCUAAUCCGAUGCACCACGGGCCUGCACGCACCACCUAAGUGCAUGGCGCGUGGAGCCCACGAGCGGGCGUAUCUUAACCGGUCAAAACUAGUCCAACCGGUAGCGGUCUGACCGGUUCCCGAUUCGACUGGUUGACCGGGUCGGGUCGGGUCAGGUCAACAAGUUGGGUCGGGUCGGGUUGGCCGCCAAUUGGGUCCGGUCGCUAAUGUCACUAUGGCGUCAGCAUACGUGUGUGUGUCACACGUGCAAGCCGCGCCCCGCACGUGAGGGCGUGUGACCUCGCAUGACCACGCGUGGGGCGCGUCUCCUACACCCUGACGGCGCGUGGCCGCACGUGAGGGCGCGUGCGGAGUCCUCCGGCGAUGCGCCGCCCACGGAUCUGCUCGUCUUGUCGAGCCCAGUCCGAAUUUGUGAUUUAAUUUUAUUUUUAUUGAACAAAAAAUCACGAAAAUCACAAAUUAUGGCAAAAAUUUUAUGCGUUCGAGUUCUAGGAUUAUGGUUGCUCUAAUACCACAUGUUGGAUGCAAAUCACACAAUCCCAAGAUCUCCAUAACCAUAACAAGAACAUGCAUAAUUGAGUAGAAAAGAUUAACGUACCUGUUUUGGGAUUCAUCAUUCUUGAAGUGGAAGCAGAAACACAAUAUUCCAUGCACAAAUCAUUCUCCUCUAUUGCCCUCCGUAUCAUUGGCUCAAUGAGGCGGUCCCCUCACGUUUAGCGUUAGGUAAAUGCUCAUUAGGUCAUGAUACAUGUGAGAAUUAUGGUUAGAAGAAAGACUUGAGCACUAUUUAUAGAAUUUCCAGCCAAGCCCCCUCAUUACGGGCCAGGCUCAACUCGGCCCACACUAGACAGCCUCAUAUUAGACUAAUUAAGAAAUUUUCUAUCUGACCUUAGAUCAACCCUGUGUUUACGGUAACUGUAAAAAAAGUAAAUUAUAAUAUCAAUUAAUGUAGUCCAUAUUAGGAAAUUUUUUACGUAUCCAUCUCUCCAAACCCCCAAAUUGCCCCUCAAUUUGCCCUCAAAACUGCUCCUUUGCAGGAUCUCAAUCCUUGUGUACGAUCACCAGGACAAGCUGCUAUUGCAGGUUGGGCAUGUUUAUUCGGUUUCCUGUGUCGAAUUUGAAUAAGAAUUGAGGUCGAUGUUGAUGUCUAUUCAUGUUACUGCGAGAGUUUGUUUAUUUUCACGGGUUCCUGUUAUUUUCGAAUUAGUUGCAAUUGAUUUCAUUUCAUUCGUGUUGGAAUCGAGGAACUGUGCUUGUAGGGGCACCCGAAGCGGGUCCUGCUUCUCUAUCCGUGCAUGCUUUAUCUCUACGUCGACAUGAUCGUGGGGCUGAGCAACGCCGCCGCGCGCUGUCCUCGGCGUCGAGCUUCAGAUGCCCUCCGACGAGCCCUACCUUUCCAUGUCGUUCCAAGAUUUCUGGGGCCGGAGGUGGAACCUCACCGUGACCAACGCCCUGCGGCACACCGUGUACAAGCCCCUGAAGUCGUUCCUCGAACCGCACUUGUGGGCCGCAUGGGCGACGGCGGCUGCAGUCAUGGCAGCGUUCCUCGCGUCCGGGCUGAUGCACGAGCUGCUGUACUAUGACGUGACACGUGCGAGGCCUACUUGGGAGGUGACGGGGUUCUUCAUGCUGCAAGGGGCGUGCGUGGUGGUGGACGUGGCGGCGAAGGCGGCGGUGGGGGAGAGGUGGAGGCUGAGCAGGGCGGUGUUGACGCCGCUGACGGUGGGGUUCAUGGCGGCGACCGCCAUGUGGCUGUUCUUCCCGCAGCUGAUCAGGAAACGGGGCGGACGCGAGAGCCAUUAAAGAGUGCAAGGCUUUCAUGGAGGGGCUGAGGCCCAAGUUCUGACACGCGGUACAAGGCAUUUGGGGUAUAUUUAAUGUGCACAACGUUGUUCUUACGAAAUCGGUUAAUCACAUUUCAAAAAAUUUCAAAGCUAACAUUGGGUCCUCAAUUACUGGGAAAAAAAAUUGACAUUGGUCUUUAAGAAAACACAAUCUUUAGUCUAUGUAUAUGUUUUUCAUAAUGUAAUUAAUUAUGUCUGACUUUCACNNNNNNNNNNNNNNNNNNNNNNNNNNNNNNNNNNNNNNNNNNNNNNNNNNNNNNNNNNNNNNNNNNNNNNNNNNNNNNNNNNNNNNNNNNNNNNNNNNNNNNNNNNNNNNNNNNNNNNNNNNNNNNNNNNNNNNNNNNNNNNNNNNNNNNNNNNNNNNNNNNNNNNNNNNNNNNNNNNNNNNNNNNNNNNNNNNNNNNNNNNNNNNNNNNNNNNNNNNNNNNNNNNNNNNNNNNNNNNNGAAAUUCCAGCUCUCACUAACAAAAAACUUGCCCUUUGAAGCUCGAUAAAAUUACAUUCCUACUGUCAUGAGUUUUCGGACAACCAUUUUGCUCCAUUUUGUCGGAGAUUGUAUCGUUACUCUUUCAAAUAAUGUUAUACUAGGACCAGUCUACUAUAACAUGAAGACAUCAAGUUCUUAUGCUUAGAAUCGUCGGAUCAUCACAAUUAAAUUUCAGCCAUUGAUCAUUAACGGUUGAGAGUCAUUAUUGGAGAUGCCUCACAGCAUAAUAGCCUAGUUCAUAUAACUAGGUUGUCAAGAAAUUUGUUGAACUAGAAUUUAGGUUCAGAGAAUGUUUAUGCUCCAUGGUAGAUGCUCAUUCCUUUAGAGCGACGCAAAAUUGAAUAAAAAGUGAGGACGUAAUUACAAACAGCUUAAGUUAGGGGACUGCGCAAAUAAAAUCAAAUCUGAGGACUCAAUAGAAAAAAGAGUGCAAGUUGCAACGAUCCACAAGUGGUACUCUUUUGGGGAAAACUCCAUCUCAACUUUAUUCCCGUUAUCGUCCUGCAUAUGUCCCUUUAUACUUCCUCUUUUUUUGUUUUUUUUUAUCAAAUAUUUCCCUCACUUUAGAGUCCUCCAAUUUGCACUUUAAUUUUCGUUAACAGAUUUCGAUUGGGCCAGAAUGCCACUACUCUUUAAAAAGUGCCAAACGUACUUUCUAAGCCCACCUCAAUCUUCUUUUAUUGAGAGAAGGUAACAUACGGCACAGUAUUCAAUGGUUAGGCAGCAUGACAUCAUAAGCUAACUUUAGCAUUAAUUUUUUUUUUCAAAUCCAAUAAAAAUUGAUACUUGUUCUUGACGUGGCACAUAAAUGAAAAAAUCUUUCUCUGGUCGCAACAGUGGGGGAAUCUCUCUUUCUUUGCCCUGUUCUGUUGCAGCAAAUGGACGAGCCGCAACAAAGUGAGUGGCUUGGCCAUGGACGGCAACGACUGCGAGCCACCGCAAUGACGAAGGGAUGGCUCGGCCAUGGAUGUGCGGUAGUGGUCGGCUUGGAUGCAGUGCCGGCGACUCUGCUGGUGACUCUGAUGGAGGGAGUGGCCGUGGAUGGAGAAUGAAGAAGAGACCAAAAAAGAAGGGCUGGUUUUUAAUUCUUUUAUUUGUUUGCCACGUCAUAGACAUGUCAAUUAUUCAUUGGAUUUCAGUACAAAAAUGCAUGCCACAUCAGCUUAUGAUGCGAUUUUAACUAACCACCGAAUAAUUUCUAGCAAUAUAUCAAAAAUUAUAGAAAUAGCUCAGAGUGUGUUUGAUUGGAUUUCUAGGGAAAGUUUUGGGAAAAUGCAAAAGAUUUUAAGUUAAAAAAAUUUUCAAAAAUGAAAAUUAUGUUUGUUAAAUUAUAAUUUAAAAAUCCAUUGUGAAGUACUUUUGAGUAAAAUAGUACUUGGAUAAGGAUUUUAAUUAUUUAAAAAAAGAAAAAAAAAUUGGUCCUUUGCCGACUAAGGGUAGGCCAUCGCCGACUAAGGGCAGGCCAUCGCCGAUAAUCCAGAUCUAUUGUCGAUAACUGUCGUCUAAGGUCGCAAGACCUCAAACAGCCCUUGGAGACCAUUGGCGAGGGCCACUUCGGGUCGAGUGACCCUAGCGCGGGUCAUGUGCUACUAGGGGUCAUGUGACCUACGUAACCCCUUACAACUUCGAAAGUCACUCGAACCCGACGAGGGCUAGCUGGGUCAUGCGACCUUCAUAGCCGUAACAACUUGCAUAACUCGUUACAGCUCGGAAGGUCACUCGAAUCCAACAAGGGCCAGUUGGGUCUUGUGACCUACGUAACCCCUUACAGCUUCAAAGGUCACUCCAACUCGAUGAGGGCUAGCUAGUUCGCGCAACCCUCGCUAGGGGUCACUUGACCCCAACAAGGGCUAGUUGUGUUUCUUAACCCCAAGUAGCCCCUUGCCGAGGUCAUGUGACCACCGAGGGUUGUCUGCCGUCUAGAUCAGGCAACCUCGUCCAGCCUUGUGAGGGUCGUGCAACCUAGAUGAUACUCGCCUACACGGUCGCUUGGGUCGCUGCGACUAGGGGUGAGCAAUUUCAGGUUCCGAUUCGAUUCCGUCUAGAACCUGGAAUCUACCCUCGGGUACAGGUUCCUCAUUUUUUGAAACCUGAAACCUACCUUCGGGUACAAGUUCCUCAUUUUUUGGAACCUGGAAACUACAAUGUACACGCUUUACCAAAAAAAAAAAAAUAUAUAUAUAUAUAUAUAUAACGUACGCACAUACUCUACGAUAACUUCCCACAUCUUAGCAAACAUAGUAUAUACCAAUGCCAACUGCCAAGAAUUUGGACAUACAUAAUCAAAACCAAUAAAAAGUUUCCAAAGAGGAAAGGAGGGGCUUGAUUAACUAUAAUUAUUGUGCCCACGAAUGGACCUAGACUUAGAACCAGGGAAGGAGAGUAAAUUUCCUGUAGGUAUGCAUCCCACAGUGGGCGAACAACUCCCGUUCAAGCCCUUCAGGGACAGCCUUUUAGCAGAAAACCACUCAGCCCUUUAGUUCAGAGCCUAGAGACACUCAGAGAGAUGUCAGGAUGGAAACGUUUCUAACCUACCCAAGCUGCAUUUCUUGGAGGAUCCUACCAAGCUGGAGAAGAAGAGCAAUUUAGAAAGCCAUGGAGAGAUUUUCACAAAGCACACACUUUACUUCAAGGGACUCUGCCCAAAACGAUACACCCUCCUUGCCUUAUAUAGGCAAUAAGAGGUCACUAGGACACACACAGGGACCUUACUCAUGGGUCCAGAUAAAAACAGAGGCACCGGAACUUUCCGGGAGGGAAUUAUUAGCACACUAUGAACAGUAACUGUACUGUGAACAGUACUUUCCCUAGCAUAGUGCUACAGUAAAAAGUGAAUAGUGACUUUGCUACAGUGAAAUUGUACGGACUCAACGGUCUCGUCCGUCACGAGCAUUGUAGCUACAGACUGAGUCAUCUGAGCUGUCUUCUAAGAGAUGUGCCUCGUAUUUUUGUUCAAGGGCUUCAAGGUCUUCAGGUGAGAAGAUUUGAUUCAGCCUUCGUGAUGAGGAUGCUUGUUCAUGAGCCCAAUGUGAUGCUUCUUCUUCAGCCCAGUUUGUAUUUUCAUCUUCUUGAGGGUCGACAGGAAUUCUUGGCUGAGGCCAGUUGGAUGGUUGUGCAUAGAAAGAUAUGUCCAUGCUUUGGAAUUGUUCGUAGGGAUCCUGGGACAGAGGUCCUCCAAAGCGUGCAUAGAGGUCCUGGGUGGAUUGGACAAUGUCAUCUUCGGUUGUCAUUUCAGGCUCUUGGGACGAUGUGGCUUGUCUGUAUUGUUCGAGUGUUUCCUUAGCUUCUGGUGCUAAGUCAUAAUGAUCCCACGUAGUGGGUGCAUUAUUCCAAACAUCUUCGGGAAUAGUCUUGUUUUCUUGGCACAGGAUUCUCUAGAGUUCUCGGUAUUCAUGUUCACAAAGUCUAACAGAUCUUGGAUAAGAUUUGUAAAUCCGGGCUUCUCGGCUGUUCAAGUUAGGUUUAUAGGAUGUGGUUCCUAUUUCUAGUGGUGCAUCGAGAAUACUACCAUUAUUUUUGCAAAAAUUCCAUGGACGUCGAAAAAACAGGAUGAUGUGGACCUCAGGAUUCGGCGUCAUGGAUCUCAGUUCUUUUUCCAAGUCUUGUUUCCAGCAUGUAGGAUGAUAGAACCAAUUUAGAAAAUCUAAAAGAUUUCUAUCACAUUCUUUUUCGAUGUUUCUUCCGAGCAAGAAUAUCCUUGUGAGGUUGGCAAUGAAUCUUCUGGUUGGAAUUUCAAAAGCUAUUAGGUACUUAUUGGUUAAGUACCACAAUAACGUUUUGAGCUAUUCAGGGAAAUCAUCUUCCUUCCAGAUAAGAGGAUGAAUGAAUGGAUAAUCCAUAUUUAACCCAAAAGGAUAAAGAAUCGAACCUCCAUUGAAUCCGAAUAGGUCUGUGUGGCUUUGCCACAUGAGGUUCUCCAGGUUCUCAGCAAGACUGUCGUUCUGGAUUUGCUGAAUAAUCUCCUGGGGGUAUUUCCAGCUUUGCGUAUCUUUGAUCUUCUCAAUUUUGUAUUUCACUCCAUGAUUAAGCAUAUGGAAAGCAGGCCUCUUGAUGUACAUGUUGAUCUCGGCUGGUGCUUUUGGCCUUGAUAAGAAGUCAGCAAGUAUAUUCUUCUUUCCCAGAAUAUGCUUAGUUUCAAGAAGUAUUUUGAUAACCAUUCAGCCCAUCGAAGCAGUUGGGAAUUUGGAAUCUGUUUUUGUUUAACUUGGUCAUCUGAGGGAAANNNNNNNNNNNNNNNNNNNNNNNNNNNNNNNNNNNNNNNNNNNNNNNNNNNNNNNNNNNNNNNNNNNNNNNNNNNNNNNNNNNNNNNNNNNNNNNNNNNNNNNNNNNNNNNNNNNNNNNNNNNNNNNNNNNNNNNNNNNNNNNNNNNNNNNNNNNNNNNNNNNNNNNNNNNNNNNNNNNNNNNNNNNNNNNNNNNNNNNNNNNNNNNNNNNNNNNNNNNNNNNNNNNNNNNNNNNNNNNNNNNNNNNNNNNNNNNNNNNNNNNNNNNNNNNNNNNNNNNNNNNNNNNNNNNNNNNNNNNNNNNNNNNNNNNNNNNNNNNNNNNNNNNNNNNGCAUGGAUUGCAAAGGAAUGAGAAGCUUUGCAAUGUUUGGGACAAAAACCCUGAGAUAAUUAAUUAUCCCAAGAAAUUGCUGAACUUGCUUUGUUGUGAAGUUAUCUUGGGGAAACUUCAAUAAUUCUUAAGCAAUAUGUGGCCCUGGAUAGUAUGUACCUUUGUUAAGGUGCAUACCAAGAAAUUCGAUUUCUGUCUGGGCAAUAUUCAUCUUUCUUUGAGAAAGCAUGAUACCAUGUUUCUUCACGAUUUCUGCAAAUUGCUCAAGGAGUUGACAAUGUGACUGCUCAUCAGGACUGUAGAGCAGAAUGUCGUCAAUGUACACUACUGCACUUGAUAGGAUUGGUUGAAAAAUGCGACACAUGGCCUUUUGGAAAAGAGAUGGUGCUACCUUUAAGCCAAAAGGAAGAACUUUCCACUGGAAGUGCUGGUUCGGGAUACAGAAUCCUGUUUUGGAUCUGUCUUCAGGAUGGAUGCCCAAUUGCCAAAAUCCGGUUUUGAGGUCGAAUUUGGAAUAGAUGUGGGCCUUGGUUAGACCACUAAAGAGAGAAUCUCUCAAUGGUAGAGGGAACUUAUCAUCUUGGAGAAAAAGAUUGAGAGGUUGAUAGUUGAUCACCAAUCUCAUUUUUCCUCUAUUUUGCUCAACGCGCUUAUUGAUAUAAAAGGCUUCACAAGCCCAUUGUGAAUCGGAGAUUUCAAUAAGGCCUUGUUGCAAUAGUUCUGAGCAUUCCCUUUGAGCUAAAACCAAAUGUUCUAGCUUCAUUCCCAUGUGGCUUGCCCUGGUUGGGUUUAUGUCUUCAUUCUUCUUGAAAGGAAGGCGAACAAAGAACUCUAGAUUUUCCCAUAAAGGAUGGGAACACUUUUGAGCGAAUUCUGAAUGGGAUUCUGAACAAGAUUCUAGCAACUUUUGCAUAAUUGGAUCUAGUAAACUCAUCUGGAUGGAAAAGAGUCUCUGAAUAUUAACGAACUCAGAGAAUUGAUCUUUAUAUCUAAGACCUUUUCCAAGAAUGAUGCGAAGCUGAGAGAUUUGAGUCAUAAUGUCCCACCCAAUUAUCAGGUCUUUAUUGGGAAGGUUUGAUCCAAAGAUUUUUGCAGUUAUGGAGCACUACGAGAAGAACUGGAUAGUUACAGGAGUGGUUCUGACAUUUGUGGAGGAAGUAUCUGCUGAAGCAUAAUUGAAAUAUCGGAUAUAAGGAGUCCAGAAUUCUUCAGGAAGAACCUUGGUGUCUAAUAUUGAACAACUUGCUCCUGUCUCAAUGAGAGCAAUAACAGUGAUAGGUUUGGCAAACUUUGAAGUGAGGAUUUUUACAGGGAAAUGGGGACAGUAAGUUUGACUUGAAAAUAUGUCAAGGUUUGGUUCUGAGGAUGAUGCUGAUAUAUGGAAAAUAUCUUCAGACUCUGAGUCUGACUCAGUCUCACUGGAAGUUUGGUAAGAGGGAAUGACACAAAGAGUUUGUUCAGAUGGCUCUUCAUCAACAAAGAAUAAGGAUUCAAUAUCAUCAUUUUCAAGAGAAAUACCUGUUUCGUUCUCAAUGUGAUGAAUUAGGUGAUUCUGGCCUUUUCUCACUUGAGGACAGUUUUUGGCAAAAUGUCCUUUCUGAUUGCAAAUGUAGCAACGGUUUGAUUUUUUGUGGCUUGUGCGAUCCUUCCUUUUGCGUAGGUAUCGCCAUUUCUUCUUUUUCCGGAAAUGCUUGGAUCCAUGUUUGGAUUUCUUUAUCCAAAACUUCUUGUAGUGUUUCUUCUUCCGGGAAUACUUGCCACAAGUACCAUCACAGUCUUUCUUGGAACAUUUGAUUUUUAACUUCUGGCGAGAACAAGUUGAUUCAAGGCGCUUGUCGUCUAUGAUGUAAGUACGGACCAUCUGGCGCUUUAGGCACAAUUCUUCGAGACAUAAAUGAACUUCUUGUUGUAUUGCUCCUAAUGGAACAUCUUGUAUUCUCCUUUGUUUUCCAAAGAAAGAUCUUUCAACCAUCUGGGAUAGUUCUUUAGGGAUGGAAGUAAGGAAAACAUGCUUCAGAUUUGGAUCUGCUCCUACUUGGUAAAAAAGCUGAAGCAUUAUUCGAUAAUGCUUAUCAAGAUGUUUUUCCUGGAGGGAGCAGCAUCUUCUCUCGAAAAACUCUCUUCUUUUUAUCUCUAUGAGAUCAGUGGGUUUUCCCACAAAGACAUGAUAUAAGAGAGUAACGGCAUGGCUGAAAUUAGGUGACAUUAGAAAAUGGAUCUGGUCUUGUUCUGAAAUUGAUUGCCACCAGAGUUUGAGGCUUCCUGUGAACCUUGUAACAAAGUUGUACAGGACGUCAUUCAUAUCAUGGUUAGUGAUAGACUGGGUAUUCAACCAAGUAUGAAAUUCUUCAAGCCUUAUCAGCCAUUUGUGAUAAGGAAUAUCAUCAAUGGUGAAGAAUUGUUUUGAUGCUAUAGACACAUGCUGAGCAGAAUUGCUUGUCCGACCUAUUUCUGGGUCAGAAUAGUUUGAUUCCAUUUCAUCAUCCGGGGGGUCAGCCAUGAAUAUUGAUGAAGUUACUGGUGCAAUGGGGAGGGAAUCAACUAUAGGAAUUGAGAAGGAUGAAGAAGAGGAGAAGGAUACUGAAGAAUCUGAUUCAGUAUCACGAGAAGUUUGCUCUACUAGGAGCAGAAUCUGUUUUUCUGGAAUGACAGGAUCAGGCUGUUGGAUAACAGGGUCAGGUUCCUGAGUGCUUAAAUCUUUUAGAAAAGAUUCUAAUGGAUUUGAUAGCAUCAUCUGAUCUGGCCUUUCUCUGAUAACAAUGGAACUUGAUUCUGUAGGCGGUAUUUUUUCUUUCCCAUUUUCCUUCUGCAGGGCCUUGAGGCGAUUUCGUAUUUCUGCCAUAUCUGGUUCUCUUCUGUAAGGAUCUGCUGGAAUAGUGGCAAAGAUAGACGUUUGUGGCGGUGGGGGUAAAUACCCGAUUUUAACAGGAGGUGCCAAUGGGUCAAACGGUCUGAACCUUCCUUCUUCAAGAAGCUGGAUUUGCCUUUUGAGCUUCUCUAUUUCUGGCUUUGGACUUUCAAGAUAAUGGUACCCAAUAUGUUGUCCUGAUUCUAAGGCGUGAAGCCUUUUCUGGAAUUCAGAAAGUAUCUUUUUGGUACUUUCAUCAUACCUUCGGAGAUCUUGUUGCACAUUUCCAAUUUUGGAAUCAAUUGCCUUGAAGGCAUUAUUAUGUGCCAACAGAGUUUCUGAUUGCCAAUUUAGAACAGCUUCAGCGACAGAGGUUUUUUUCUGUCUCCCAUGUUCAUCCACAUCAGUGGGAGUAGGGAUUUUAGGAACAUGGCGGUAUCUACCAUGGGGAUCAAUAAACUCUUCUACAGCAGGGAACAAGAGUUUAGAACUUUCCUUGACAAGAGGAGGAAAGUCGGUAUCCUGGAACAUAGCGAUAGAAGAAGUGGGUGGUGCUUCUUCUGGGACUUCGAGGGGGUAAGAGUGCUUCUUAGCCCAUUUGAGUAUUGGCUUAUAAAAUGGAGAGAGGGCUUGCUUCUUCUGGGGUGGAGAUGGUGGUGGUGUUUUUGGUGGAUCUGGUAAGGCUUGGGAUGUAGUAUUCACCUCUGGCGGUGGAGGUGGUGCAUAGGAAACCAUGAACUGAUAUUUGUCACACUCGCCGAGAGUAUCAACGGAGGAGUCUCCGUCUAAGUAUCUUUGGUACAUCUUAUCCUUUGGCCUUUUCCUUCGAGGUGGAGAUCUUACGAAGGAUCUACCUCGUCAGGCGAAUUUGUACAAUAGGAACAUUGACAAAAGGGAUCCCAAAAACAAUUACCAUAGUCAUAUUUAUAGUAAUGAAUAGGAUGUCCAUCACCAUCGAAGUGUCGGACAUGCUUUUUUGGAUCUGGCUCGAAAAUAGAUUGAGGAACACAUGGUUCAAUCAUGAAGAGGGUCUGGAAGAUAGAAGGGCUUUCUUCCUUUUCCUUGCCAAAUUUGAUGGAAACAGUUCCAUCUUUCUUGUGUACGAACUCUGAGUCCGUAGACUGGAAAGGCUUGUUGUGCUGAUGUAGCUUUUCGUAGUUGGUAAUCCAAGUCUCUGGAAGGAGCUUGGCCAACGUAUCCUUUGGGAUUUGUCUGGGAACAUGGAUGCAAGACGCUUGAUCAUUCUGCAUGGAGAUAAAUAAUGCAUCUUCAUUACCAUUGUUGAAGUUGAGGUCAAGUGCAUGGUUUUGCACUCGAUAAACCAUCUGGUAAUAUAGUGUUGCAGCUACAGAAUCAGCAGUUUGAGGGGCUCCAGUAAGUUGGACUUGGACUUUCAUAAAGGAAAGUAACUAGGGGUCUGAAAGAGCGAUGUUGAAGUUUAGAUAUAGAGUGACAAAGACUGUUCCAGCAUUCAAAGUAGUUUGAACAGUUCCAAUGCAAGCAUGCUGGUAUUGUAAAAAUUUGGUAUCUAACAACUCGAUUCUUGCCACAAAGUUUAAAUCGUCAAUUUGCCAUAUGCCAUAUGCCUUAUCAGCUAAGUCAAAUGAAAAUGAUUAAGCAAAAUAUACUAAGAAUAUGAAAAACCAGAAGUGCCAACAAGAUGAUGAAGCACAUGAAAAAGAUGAAGCAAAAUAUACUAAGGAGAUGAAAAACCAGUUUUGCAACAAGAUCUCAAAUUUUCAUCUACUCCAUAGUGUGAACUCUACAACCUUUCCCUAUGAUUCCUUUGGCACAGCAAAACCCUAUAAAGACAUGGAUGAAAAUCAGUCAAAAUCCUAAGUAAAGACACAUCCAAAAAUCAAUAUCGAUAAUACUCCAUGAAGCAUGUCAUUUUGCCCAUCUAAAGUCUCCUAAAUUCUUUGACAACAUAGUUCAAAAAUUCAAUAUACAUAAGAAUAGCCUGCAUUAAGAUUACGAUAAACAAAGUUGCUCAUCAAUUAACUUCUGCACAAUUAAAGCAGCAUAAAGCCAACAAAAAACCUUGCUUGACUUCUCAACCGCUUGACCCAUUACAGAUGUGACACCACCAACUCUAAUUAUCGACGAUAAUCUUCGCAUUAAGACCAACCAUAUCUGAAAAAGAAGAAGAAGAAGAAGAAGAAGAAGAAGAAGAGGUUAAAUAAAAUAUUCACUUAUCAGAUUUACAAAAAGAAUUACAAUAUAUAAAGAUAUAAACGUUACUUACCCAACUAAAAUUGUUCUGCGUUCUCAAUACACUCUUCAACAUCAAGCGGUACACGAACGGCUCUCAACCAAUCUUGAGUGCAAAUCAAAGCUUCCACUACUUUGGGAGUUAAAGAACUUUGAAAGCCAUCAAGCACACGACCCGAUGUACUAAAAGUUGACUCUGAAGCAAUGUUAGUUACAAGAAUGGACAAAAUAUCUCGAGCCAUCAAAGAAAUGAUCUUAUAUUUUGAGCCAUUAGUCUUCCACCAAAUCAAAAUGUCAAGACCAAGAUCCUUUUCAUUUUUUCUUGAAGAUACUCAUCAAGCUCGGACUUGUUGUUAUUGCACCCUUGUUCAUUCGAGUAUAAAAACAUUUUCUUCCAAGCUUGGCCGUCAUAUUUCUUUAUUCCUUCAUUACCACCCAUAUCGGUAUUGGAAUUGGAACUACUACUACUUGCACCCAAAUUAUGGUCACCAAAUUCUUGAUCACUUGAAAUAAGAUAAGAUUGUUCAUAAAAUUCAUACAAACGCUCCAAUGCAUCCUUUACCUUGUAAUGCAUCUCUUUAAUUUUCGAUUCAUCAUCAUAAAUUUGUCCAUACAAGAAACUCACAUAAUUUAACUUGGCUCUAGGAUCUAACACAAUCGCAAUCAACACCAUUAUAUUCACUUUAUUCAAGCUUUCAUAAUAUUUGUCAAAUUUUUCUUUCAUUUUCACACCCAUAGCUUGAAGCUUAGGAUACGAAGCAUUGACCGCAUCUUUCAAAUAUCUAUACAAAAGAGUUAUCCCUUCAAAAUAAUCAUUUGAAGUAACAUAUGAAAUCCCAAACAUCUUAUUAGUGGCAUUAUAGAAUACUUUUAGAAAAUCCGAAAGAAUAAUAGUAUUUUCUCAAUCAUCAUCACUAGGAGUUUCAUGAUUAAGCUCACUUACAAAAGAUAGAUCGUGAUCUUCCAUCCUUUCGAAAGCUUUUCUAAACUUUAUGGCGGUGCCUAACAUGAGGUAAGUGGAGUUUCAUCUAGUGGCGACGUCAAGAACUACUGAACCCUUAUAAGUGAAAUUUUCUCUCUCAAUGCAAGAUUGAAAUCAUUGGGCUCUCGUGGGAAAACUCCUUACAUACCUAACCACAUUUCAAAUACGUGCAAUUGAGUCAAAUGCCGUAGUUAAUCCAUCUCUCACAAUCAAAUUUAAUAUAUGAGUUGUACACCUCAUGUGCAAAACACUACCAUCUAAUAUCAACGACCUUUGUUUCGAAAAAUUUUCCCUCAAAUAGCUAAUUGUAACAUCAUUCGAGCUAGCAUUAUCCACGAUAAUUGUGGACACCUUUUUUUUUUUCUAUUUCCCACUCCUCAAUGCAUUUCUCCACCAUUUUCCCAAUCUCCUUACCCCUAUGACUAUUUAUCACCACAAAGUUCAUGAUUCUUUUAUGCAACUUCCAAUUUUCAUUAAUAAAAUGUGCAAUGAGACACAAAUAAUUCAGAUUUUGAUUGGAACUCCAUGUAUCAGUCGUGAGUACGAUCCUAGAAUUAAUCUUUUCAAAAUAAUUCUUCAAAUAAGUUAUUUCACAUAAAAACAACUUCAUGCAAUCUUUUACCACUGUGAAACGUAAUACAUGUUUGAAGAGAGGUUGUAACUCAGUAACAUAUUCACGAAAUCCAACACGCUCAACCAAAGAAAAAAGUUUGCUCAUCAAGGAUGAUGAACUGAGUAAGCAUGUGCCUACAACGUUCUUGAUUAAAUGACCAUAUCGAUAAGACACUACCAAUACUAGAAUCUUUUCCUGCCUUGCCAGCCAUGUUGACAUUACGUGGUACAAAGAAUUUAUGCAUCUUAUCUAUAUUAUGGUGAAACCUCUUGCAUGUGGUCAAGUGCUUCCUCAUUGCAGAAAUACCGUUAGCAACAUGGUACUUAAGCAUGGACCCACAAUGAAUACACUUCACUUGAUAUAUUUUUCCAUCAUUAUCACUGAUUCUCGAAUAAUGAUUCCAACAUUCGGAUGUAUAUUUCUUAUUAUGAGGAAGGUGAGAACUGGGUACCUUAUUUAUGGCACUCGAGGUAGAGGGUGCCUCUUAUUCAAUUUCAUCGCCAGAAAACUCAUAUUUCGUAAUCGGAGUCAUCUCCUCACAUCCCUCCACCUCCAUUGACGUGUUAUCUUGACACAUUAAUUUCGCACUACACAACAAUAAUAGAAUAUAAUUAGACAUUUCAAAACAGAAUAUGUAGGCAGCUACUAAAAACCAAAUCAAUACACAACUUUCCCCUCAAAAAAACGCUCUUAAGUAUUGUAGACAAUUAGCUUUUACUAAAUGAUAAUAAUCUGUGUAUUUUCAUAGAUGAUAACUCGUGCGCAAAUGACACAAGCUAAAAGGAGUCCAAUUUGAUCAUGCAUAUAUCCAUUAUGCGGCACAUUAUUAUCCUUCUCUUAUAUUACCUCUACAAUUAAGGACCAGCAAUCCAGAAAAGCCACCCAAAACAAAGAAGUUAAGCAUCUAGAUUGCCAAAAUUCAAAAACACCGGCUUGCCCAAAACAAAGAAUUGAUCAGAGCAGUUUCAUUGAGCAAGUAGUCAUAGACCACAACUUGCAUUUCUUUUCUUGUUCCAUUAAAUUGUGAAGGCAGUGACAACUUUGUUUUAUGUAGAAGUACCAGCUUUACUUGAGCAGGUUACAGAAGAAAAAUGAAAUGAAAUUUCUAAUGGGGGGAUGAAGCAUUCGGAUCUAAACCCACAAGAUGCUGCCACUGGUAUAAUGAUGCUAUCAGAACUCCAUCAAUUUGAAAUUGUCAACAUAAUGAUAUGGUACAUUAGAACUCCAUCAAUUUCCAGCAAAAUGAUGCUACAAAAUACAAAUGGCAACUCAAAAUUUGCUGCCAACAACUUUCUUAUCCAAAAUUUGAACUCCAAAAACAAUGAAAUUGACACCAGAGGGACUAUAAUCACUAAGCAAUCUAGUCUUAGAAAUUAGGAAUCAAUCACUCACUCCCUCCACUGGAGCAGGAAAUGAAAUUCACAGCAUUUGAUGGUAUUACCCCGAGAUCGUACCCUUGGAGUGAAGUUCCAGAAAUCCAAUUUCACCGGGCGAGCGGCGUCCAGCGCUGAGCAAGGACGUUGGUCACUGGUCUUUGGGGCAACAGCGUCAGGCAUCGUGACUGCUGGCGUCGGAUCAUCAGAGCAAAGGCGGAGACAGCAGUAGCGGCGUCGUGGGUAAGAAUCGGAAACCUAGUGACCAACAGCUACAAUCGGACGGCCUGAGGAUGGAAUCACGGCAGGAACGGUGGCUUCUAGCGUCUGGUUGCAACGGCGGUGGAGCAAAAGACGACCCAACAACAAGGGCAUCGGGGCUUUUAGCACGAGCAAGGACGUCGGUCGCUAGUCUUCGAGGCAACGGCAACAGGCAUCGCGACUGCUGGCAUCGAGUCGUUGGAGCAGAGGCGGAGACAGCAGCAAUGGCUUCGUAAGUCAGAAUUGGAAACCUAGUGACUAGUAGCUAGGGGUGUGCAUAGUCCGGGCGGGCGGUUCCCGACCUAGAACCGGAAAUUGCCCGCUAAGGACCGGUUCUGAAAAAUUGGAACCGGGAUCCACUCAUUUGUUGCAUGGAUCCACCUGAGAACCCGACCAUCGGUCCGAUUCAGUUCCCGGGUGGAUCCAUGGAGCCGAUCUUGAUGCGAAGGCGAGCUGUGGCGUCGCGGUCACGGGCGAGCGGGCAAAGGGCGCUCGUGGCAGCUGGCGCGGUGGUCAGCGCGGAGGCGAGCUAUGGCGUCGUGAGUCACUACGGUUUUGACGUUAGGCGACGGACGAGCUCGAUAGAUCGGGCUACGUCCGUUCGCCUCGCGCAACUCUGAGCCGAGAUCCUUGGGAAACCGACCCCAUAUCGGAAAAGUCGAGAACAAAGGGGGACGAAAUCUACCAUGAUUUUGACGUGAAAGAGAAGUCGAGGUGGGUCGUCGACUACGGUUCAAGCGCGGUGGUCAAUGGCAACUCUCCCUCACACUCUACCCUUACUCGCAGCUCUCAGAUCUCACUCAAUCUCCCCCUCUCUUUUCAACGUCUCACAGAUCUCUCUCUCUCUCUCUCUCUCUCUCUCUCUCUCUCUCACAUCAUCUCUACUUGACCCCCCUUCAUUGAACUCCAGGAGGCCCUAUUUAUAGGCUGAAGGGUCCGGUCGAUAGGGGCAUUUCCAGAAGGGUCUGGUCGACAGGGGCAUUUCCACUGUCAGUCCUGGGCACGCCAACCGGCCUCCCUCUUGGCCGAACCGGCAUCUCAGCCUGUCUUCUCCGCGUAGGCCUGCUCGGCAUCAAAGGCGUCCGCCAAGACGUCCCCUCCGUCCGGGUUUCUCACCGGAUCUCGCGCUGCUCUGUUCGGCAGCAUCGAUGGCUCCUGCGAGGUGUCCCCUCCAUCGUCGGUCUACCCUCCUCUCUCUCUACCCUAGGUCGUCCUGCGUGCCUUUAGUCUUCACCAAGCGUGGUGUCCACUGUCCAACACGAGGAAGGAAGGAGGAAGAAGAAGAGGAGAGGCCCGGACUGCGGAAAAGAUGAAAAAUGGAUUGGGCCAGCCUGCGUGAAGGAAAAGAAGAAAAGAGGGGAAAAGAGAGAAAAUUGUCCGGUAUCGCUAGGGUUUGUUUUAGUAUUUUUUUUAAUAUUAAAUAUUAAUCGGUCUGGUCCGGGUGGGCGGGUGAGCGGAUCCGCCCAUGGAAUUGGGAACCGGGAACCGGACCGGUUCCCUCAAGAACCACCGGUUCCCUCAAGAACCACCGGUUCCGAGGGUUCCAAUCCGAUUUCGGGCGGUCCAAGAGGUUCCUGGGUAUUUUGCACACCCCUACCAACAUCUACGAUCGGACAACCUAAGGACAGAAUCGUAGCAGGAACAGUGGCUUCUACCGUCUGGUUGCAGUGGCGAUGGAGCAGAGGAGGACCCAGCAGUAGAGGCGUCGCGACUUCUGGCGCGAGUAGAGGCGGUGGGUCGCGAGCGGAGACGAGCUCGGCUCAAAUCUUCCUGCGUCGGGUAGUUGCGGCGAGCAAGAGUCAGAGCGGCGUUGGCGACAGGCAGAGGCAGAGCACGGCAACGACGGGCGUCGAGCGGCAAGGGUUCGCGCGAGCGACGUCAGCAACUAGCGUCUGGCGACAAUGGCUUUGAGGGCAAGCGGUGUCCGGCGACGAUGGCCUUGAGGGCGAGCGGCGUCCGGCGGCGAAACUCAAAGCGGCGUCCGAUAGCGUGAGUUCUCUCCCAUAAAUCUGAAAGUCUGGACUCGAGAGCACCAAGCAGGGGAGGGGGGGCUCAUUUUUGAACCCUAACUAACCGGUUCUGGUUCCGGUUCCGCGACCGAUUCCGGUUCCGAUUCCGCGACCGGUUCCGGUUCCAAUUCCCAGAAAAAAGGAACCGGGAACUAGAAUCUGGGAACCGGAACCGGUCCUUUAAGAACCGGAAACCGAACCAGAACCGUGCUCACCUAUAGCUGCGACCCCGCCAGCCUCUCUUUAGCUUGUUGUUGGCCUCUUGUAGCCACAUGCAACCACACCAAUUGACCCCAAUGGAGAAAAAGAUGAACAAGCACAAACAAGGGUCAAACUGGAAAAAAAAACGAUGAUAGUUUUGGAAGAUUUUUUUUUUUUUUUAACAAACCCUAUGCUUCUUGCAUGCCGAGAAGGUUGACUUUUCCUCAAGGUGGGUGUCAAGAAUUUUACUAAACACCCAAUAUUUGAUCCGAAGAGAUAUGGAUGCCUAAAGUCCCUUCCCAAAGUCUUUUCUAGACGCAACCUUAAUAACUAGCCCCACACAAGUUAUAAAACCGGGUCCUUUGAGCAUGGUCUUGUAUGCCGAGACUCAGACGUUCCGGCCGUUCAAUAGGACCGAAGCAUCGUGCGACCUUUCUGCCUAAUGAACGAAUAGAUUAACACAAUCUUGUUUGACAUUGCUUGAGGCGAGAUUAAGGUCGACGGGUAGCACACAGUGACGGGGGUUAUAAACCUGCACCUGGCCAAUUUCCCCGUCCUUGCGGACGAGCACCAGGAGAUCCUGGAAGACACUCGAGUUUCCACUAGACCGAACAAUGUCGAUUUGAGUCGGAUCGUGCAUUUUUGUGUCGCUAUCUUUGCAUUCGUUUGAAGACCUGUCAAGCAGUAUCACUUCUCCGGCGAGAUGGUUGGAUGAGCCGACGGAGAUGCUUACGUUUGGUGAGUCAAAGAGGACGUAUGUUCGAUCAAACUGGAGGAAUUUGAAGAUGAUUCUUCGUUUGUUCGCAUGCCUUUCAAGCACGUCUUCCGUAGGGAGUGUAUGGCUGAGUGCUACGAGAGGAGAAACUUAAUACUUAUGUCCACUUUGCCGCCCCGAAGCUAUGCACACUUAUUAGCUAAUUAAUUCUAUUUGUUUAUCCCCUACAUUCACAGUUAAUAGGGAAAAUGAUAAUUAUAAGCGCCUUUGAACCGAGUACAGAUGUACAUUUCUUGUAUAAUAAUUUCGUUGCAAGCCAGACUUUUUCACUCUGUUUGCUCAUUUCUUUUACUGAUUACAUGUUCGCAUCGUUGGGAAGUACUAUGAUUCCGCAAGAUGUUUCAAAUAUAUGCCUUUUUCCAUAGAAUGCAUAUCCAUCGGCCAUCAGUACAUGAAAGUAUCUAUAAAUACUAAACAGGGGCAGUAUCAUCUUCCUUGACGUAUAGAGAGCUCGGAGCUUUAUUAUUCACACACUUUCCCUUACAUACUGCACUAGCUAGGAGGAGCAACAUAUGGCACUUCAGUAGUUUUCUAGUUUUUUCGGGGUAUUUUACUUUCUUCUUUCUGUCGGCCGUCGUGACAAUGCUACUUCCCAUGAUCACUGGGGCAGCCAUGGCUGCCAUGCCCAUGGUUGUGGUCAUCACCAUCGUCAUCGUCAUCGUCAUCGUCAUCGUCAUCAUCAUCAUCGUCGUCGUCGUCAUCAUCAUGAUCAUGGUCGUCGUCGUCGUGAUGGACACAAGCACUACGGCUGUACCCCUUCCCAAGACUACCGUAGCCUUUCCCGAGCCCAUAUUCCUUCAUGCUCUCUUACAUGCGCACAAAAAUUCAACAGAUUAUAUAUAUAUGAAGUACGUAUACAGAGAAGAUAGAUGAAGUAGAGUGGAAACUUACGAGAUGAAUUAGUCUCCUCGACAAGCUCGCGAGCUGCAGCCUCGUAAGAGGAGACGAGAAGAAGCAUGGCGAAGACAAGGCCACAGAGCACAAAAACCCUAGAGGAAGCCAUUCCUCAGUGCACCUGAAGGCAGUGAAACAAAGAACUCGAGUUUGCUCUAAGUGAUGAAUAUGAGGAUCGAACUUGCAUGGUAAGGUCACCUUAUAUAUAUAGCCUCAGAAGCGUAGAGAAAGGAACUUGCUGGCGGACCAAGCAAAACGAGCGUAGCCUGUUAGAUCUUACCUAUAGUAAGAGGAUUGUCUUCUUAUACAAUACACAUAGUUUGGAUUUAUCUAACAACACACAUAGUUUGGAUUUAUCUAACAACUUGGCAAGUGACAGCCUUAGACUGCAAAAAAAUUCUGGCGAGAUGGUUUCGUAUGGUCAUAUAAAAGGUCCUGGAUACUAAUGGUUCCAAGGUUAUUAGGAUGCAUUCGCGGAUCUUGACAUUGGCACAUUACGAGAAACGACAAGUUCAACGUUUAGUCCCGAAAUUUUCUUAUUUCGGCAUCCAGAAUGAGAUCGACUCAAGUUGUUCAAGUAAGCUUGAGUGGGAAAAUUGAACCUUGUGGGAUGUGAUCAAUCCUAAAUCGGUUAAAAGUUUAGGUCACCUACCGCUCUACAGUUUACCACAUUUGUGCAAGGCAUUGUAUAGGCGGACAUGUAGAAACGCGCAAUCUUUUUUUUAACAUGCAUGGAUGAAGAACAAAAUUUUCAUUGCUAGAACUUCUUUAAGGGUUCUAACUAUUAUUUUGUUAUCAAUCUCACAGCGAUAACGGAUUACUCUAAAUCAAUUUCAGACAUGCAUACUUACAAUGUUGCAAGUAUUGUCGUUUUGGUGCUAUUGAGGGUUGUUAAUUGAGCCACGGUAACAUAUAUCUUUUCAGAUGACCAGCAAACAUGAACACACAUUGUACGCACGCAAGAAAUCAAAAGUCGAAACAUUAAGCAAAAUUGUCUUUUUUCUAAAUAAUUGGAUGCUAUGUACAUUACAUAUAUCAAUACAUAUAUCAAUUGGUUCAUUAAAUAAAGAAAAAAAAGUUGGUAAAACUACCCGAUCCAAUGAAAUUGCAUAUGGAGAAAGAUAAUUUUCCUCCUAAUCUAAGCCCAAACGAAAGCAAAAGUAGAAAUCUCGACCAGCCAUUAGUGAAGUCCUGCUAAAAUGGUAAGGUAGCUUGCCUAUUGGAAAAUAGAUACAAGUACUUAAGACACUUCAAUGGACAUGUGAAGCUGGAGCUUCAUACGCUCACUUGCUCAGGUGAGCCAGUAGGAAUAUCAUCUCCGUCGACGCAUAAAGCUGGAAGCUUCGGUUUGUUGGUCACUCACACACAUUCCAUAUACAACGCACAGGAGUAUGUACUAGAAGCAGCAACUUAAAACUCAGAAGGUAUCUAAUUACAUUCUCGCUGUCUUUACUUCCUUCUAUGGGUUGCCUUUGUAGCCAGGCUAUUUCCCAUGCGCCAUGGCCGUGGCCAUGGUCAUGGUCGUGCUCAUGAUUGUUGUCGGGUUCAUUGUACUAUAUGUACUACAUCUCAUCAGUAUAUCAUCUGCAUAUGUAAUAUAUGAUGUUUUUGUUGGAGAAAUCCUCUUGAAGUGUUUUGAAGUUGACAAAACGUUUCCAUCAGUCUAGUCUGAAGGCUUGCAGACUCUACUAUUCAAAGUCUGAAGACCUCCGAACAGCCAGACUCAAGACUCAAAGUCUAUCCUCAUUGACAGUUUCUAAUCCGUUGAAGAAAGGCUAUCCAAAACUGGAUGUUUCAUUAAGAAUGUGACCUUAUCGACUGGAGAAGAUCUCUUGGCUGGAUAUGACAUAACGGAAUCCUUUGUUUGAUCAUAAUUGAUUUUGAAGAUUAAGGAUCCGAUGAUUGGCAAAGUAUACUUGGAAUGUUCUACUUAUGGAAACCGAGAUCCUGAUUGUAUGGGCGAACAGGAUUGAUGGGCUAUCGACAUGUUCCUUUAAUAGCUUGAAUGAUCUUCCUAAUUGAUUCCAUCCAACGGGUAGAUUGGAGGAAUUCCUUUGGAAAGUGCCAACGGGUAUGAAGGCUAUAUUCGUGAGAAACCUUGAGGAAGUGUGGUAGAACAUCUACACUGUGGAAUCAAGGAAAAGCUGUGCUGUAACUUCUCUUUUGUUCAUAGUGAAAUCCAGCCGGUGGGCUGUCAGUGCGGAAGAGUGGACGUAGGCUUGGAAUAAGCCGAACCACUAUAAAUCUUGUGUUCAAUUUUCUCUUCCCUAACCUUUACUUUACUUUGAUCGUAUUUUCAUUUCUAUCGUUUGCCUAGAAUUGCUUCCGUAUCUCGAGAAAUUGUUUGUGCACCUAUUCACCCCCCUCUAAGUGAUUAUACUAACUAUCUCAGUUUUUUCCUAGUAGAGAUCAGAACUAUCACAUAGGUGAUGGGAUUCAAAAUUCCACUGCCAAGUUUCUGUCAAAUCAUUUCAUUCGAAUGAGAUAAUAUUUACGUGCCCGGAUUUCCCUGACUGUCACGGGCUUCUCAUCGUAAGAAUGACGAGAGAUGAUUACUUCAUAAGAAACAUUAGUAGGGAGUGCCAUUUGAUCAUACAUACGAACCAUGUAGAGAAGUCCGGGGGAAGCGAUAUCAACGAGAUGAAUGAGUUGCCUCGGCAAGUUUGCAAGCUGAGAUCAUAAGAAGCACCGCAACGAGGAGGCUGCAGAGCAGAAAAACCUAGUGGAAGCCAUUUCUCAGUUAAAUUGAAGCAAAGACUGAGUUUGCUCCUGAUGAAGAAUGAUUUGCACAAAGUCGCACCUUCGUUAUAGACUCCAAAGAGCUCGUGGUGGGACAGGGUAUAAACAUGUGCGUGCUAGCAGUGGAAAAUAUUUAUUAGAUCCAGGAAAAUAUUGGAUUUCACUUCUACGUAACCACGCCGUUUCAAUUAUAUAUAUGUGAAGACUUGAGUACACUUUAAAACUUGUAAAAUAAUAUAGUAUUCCUAAAGAUCAACAAUUGGGCAUACACAGUAAGACCUCAUCUUCCUAACUUUGAAUUCUUCUUAUGGAUGAGUUAUAAAUAUGGACAUCACCCACAUUUAUUUAAAGUUAAGUUUUCAUGUGAGAGAUGUCCAAUUGGUUAAACAAGAAUUAAUUUCUCAAAUAAGAGAUCUUACAUAUAAUAAAAAUUAUUAUUGUUAUAUAGGGGUUAAACAUCACGUUCUGUGUACAAAAAUAUCAUAACAAUCCAUCAUUUUGGAACGUAUCAAUCAUACGUGUUCUUUCUAAUCAGGAGGAAUUAAUGCAUAUUCUUCAAUUAUUCUUCAUAUUAAAUUAUGGCAAAUCAAAACAACAGAAGAGAUAUAAGUAUUCCAAAGUCAAAUAUUGUAGAUGUAAGUCCAGCAAGAAACUUUCAGCGACAGGGUUUUUGACGAUCACGAUCAAUAAAAUGGCCUCCAAGAUUAGAUAGUGACGUGCCGUCGUAAAAAAAGUUGACGCUUGGUCCAUAUAUAACCUUAUCUUAGCUUCGAGAUUUAGAUCAACAUGAAGUUCAUAUAAGUCAGCCUCGGUGGGGAACUUGAGAGGCAUGUGGCAAAUCGGUUUAGAUUUAGGUCAUCUAUCGCUUUCCUCUGCACCUCAUCCAUGUAAACACACAUACAAAUAUGCAUACGUGAAGGGCUCUAGAUGUUCUUCAUGAAUACAGACGUAUGAUAACCUAAAUACUAAUUAUAUGAUAUCCCUCCGAAAUAAUUUACAAUAUACGCGAUAGUGCAAUGAAUUUGGUCAUACAUUAUAGUUGAUUCUUCAACAUGUGCUAUCAAAUAACAGCCGUAACAAAAACAAUUACCUGAAUAUAUUAUAUUCACAUAUAUAUCUUGUAUCAUUUGCUUAUAACUUGAUAUUUUUUAAAUGAUUGCAUACUCAAUCGAUAAGUUCAAGGUACACGAUGUCCGUAAGGAAUUCUCUUAUCUUACGCAACAGUUCAUUGUUUUAAGAUGGUCUCAUCGCUUUUACGUUUUUGUCACUUCAUCCGCAGUGAUUGGAGCAAUUCUUUUUAUGCUUUGAUUGGUAUCACACGAAACAUAUACAUACAACUAUACAAGUAAAAGCACCUUGGAGUCUGUGGAUAAAGUUAUACGACUUGACUCAGUCAAAAUUAAGUUCCUUUAUUAUUAGAGGAUAAGGUAAAGACCUUGCAAAAUGGCAAUCUAAAAUUAAUUACGUUGAAAGCAACACGCAGAUAUCAACAAUUUGAAGAUUUUACAUUCAAAAGCGAGUGCUUUUUGUCCCAAAAAAAAUAUUGGCUUAAUAUCAACAUUAGCUGUACAAUCCUUGCCUUGCUGUUUCUCACAUCCUACUUUUACUUUCUCAGAAAAAAGAAAAGAAAGAAAGAGUACGCAAUGAGAGAUAAUGACAAAAGGAUAUAGGUUGAGUAGAAAUGCAUUUCCGCACCGGGUUUCAUUUCGAUUAGAGACACACGUGAUAGACUGAGUAGACAAGAAGAUUUUUGCACCGUAAUGUCCUUUUCGGGUUCUAUAUUGUUGCAAAAGCCCACUACAUGGGACAUUUACUUUUGAAUUAAAAAAUUUGCGACAGGCAAUCUGCAAAGAGCCAUAUUUUCUUGCAUCGUUGAUCGAAGGAAAGUUUCUUCAUUCAUACCUUUGACUAGUGUAUCGCACCUUACAAGUCAUGAUAUUAUAAAUAUUAUCACCACAUAAAAAAAAAAAAAAUAAACGAGAGCACCAUUCAGAAGUUCAGUUGAAGGAAUUUCCCUGAAACCAGGGUUGGGGAAAAACAUGGGCUAUUUGCAAAUCCGGAUGAAUGAUGCUUGAUGCAACGGUGACGUGAAAUACUUUCACACGUUCCGGUUGUUGAUUUUCCAGUUGGUUAUUCAUAAAAUAAUGGAAACCUGAGUAGACGUUCCUCCGCAGUCACCAUGUCCAAAGUUGAAACAGGUGCAUAAUCAUUCUAAGAGCACAAUACGUACCCGCUAGUAUUUAUUGAAUUAAAACAUAACCAUGCGUGCGUGCAUAACUUGCACUUACUUUGGGAGUCCUCAUGUCUAAUAUACGUUCUCAUACCCUGAGCUGAAUCCGACGUCUCCAAUAAGAAAAAUAUGGGAAACUCGAGAAAUAGCACUUGCUAUACAGAGCUAAGGGAUAGAAUUUGUCGCCAAUUAAAGUGGGUUUUAUUCAUUCACAUGCAAACACCAGUGGACAUUUGAGACGACUCGUACUUGAAAUCACCAAAAGAACAAUCUGAAACGCAACAAAGCUGCUCAUGACAGUGGAGAAACCAUUUUAUCCAACCAUUAUUGCAGAAGCUUUUAAGCUUCUACGAGUUACAUGGCAUACAUUCUCCUACAUUCCCAGCAGGAUGAUGGACCCAACUGAGUCCAUUAUCUAGUUCUUGACAUCUUCGGUUUCUUCCGAAGGGUGACCACCAUGAUGACCACCGUGGCCGUGACCGCCGUGGCCGUGACCCCCGUGACCGUGACCGCCGUGGCCCUUUUCAUAGCCACCUUCAUACCCCUUUCCACCGUGGCCGUGUUCACCAUAUCCUUGGCCGUAGUUAGCCUCUUUCACGCUCUCCUCUGAAAUAUAAAGGCAGAGUAUGUGAUCAUAUCUGAGUCCACUAACAGAUAACAUGUAAUCUAACUUACUGUGUAUGAAUACGUAGAGUAGUAAGUUAAGAUCAACUUUUGAAACUGCUACUGUUUUGUUGACCUCUUUAUGAUGUACGUCACAUCUUAAUAUUCUACAACAUACCUUUCUCAAAAUUCAUAAAUUAAUUAAUCUACCGUGAACAACGGAAGCUAACAAGACAUUGACGGAACUCUCAUAAUCAAGUUUGCAAUUCGUUUCGUCUAUCGCCUCGAUAAAAACAUUUCUACAAAUAAUUUUCCAUGAUUAUUUGUCUGUCUGCCUUUAACAAACACGAGUGCUUCCACGACGGACAAUCACACGGAAACAUAUAUACACGUCAAAAGUGAGAAUGCGUUUCCCAUCAAACUGAAGAGAACUAGGUCAGUAAAUUGAGGGAAGACUCCAUUGUCGAGAGCACUCACGUGACUGAGUCUCCUCAGCAAGGUCACGAGCCGAGACCUGCGCGGCCAUGAGAACGAGAACGGCCAGAAGCAGGCCGCACAGGAGGAAAACUCUGGAGGAAGCCAUUUUCAUCGCUCAAGGCUAGCGGAUCACCAGAGAAAUUUGAAGGAAGACUACCCAAGUGAGUGCGUGGCUCAACUCCGAACUGGGGCGCCCUAUUUAUAGGGUGGGAAGUGGGAGUACAGACGAGGGGGUAUGAGCUGUAGCGGGACCCACAUGAUUUGUACGGUUGUGAUUUGCUUAAAUCCGGAGGAGAUGCGGCCAAAAGGCUUCCCGUCCAAGAGUCAAAAUAAGAUUGAGUGGCGGGAGCCGCUUGUGAUAUUGUUUAAGUGCCGUGGCGAGUGGAAGUUGACGAUUCGUCACACAAGUUCUUCGAGAUCAGUACUGUCUGGAUCUCUUGCUACGAGGCAUUAUUCAUAAUCUAGGGGGGAAAAUUCAAAGAUGCGGCACAAGGAGUCAUUAUAUACUUUGUGCCCUCUCUAUUGCACCCCAACUGCUUUCACUUGACCAAUUGCGAUAGCUUCUUUUCCUGCCAAAAUAUAAUGGAAAGCUUGUGAAAGGGUCGAAAAGAACAUGAACAAAAAGUUGAUAGAGCCACGAAACAAUUGAACACGCAACAUCACUAAAUAUCGUAGCGAUAAGAUGUUACCCUUUUUCACUUGAAUUAUUAUCGUGGUAGUGGAUUAAAAUAUUAUAUUCAAGGCCGAUUCGUCUGUGUAUCUUUGUGCAUGCUGUAUCUCACAUUAAUUGCGCUUUGAGCGGUUAGGUAUGGAAGGCAUAAAGAGAACCAAAUGCCUACGUCCUUCCUCACGUCACCCGUUGUCCUACAAGGGACGGGCUCUGCACCAACACGUUGGAUCCUCAAUCUACCUCAACCACAAGUACCGGUUGCAGACGUUCGUCUUAUUUUUCCAUGCACUGCACGAUUCUCUCUCUCACUAGAUAUUAAAUUGCCGACACAAAAGUUUGAAUAAUUGAAUAGAGAUUUUUGAGAGAGCUGGACCUAUGUUGAAUCCACAAGACAAAAGAAUAUGAGUGCCUGUUCAUUUUUUUAAAGUGAAUGAUUGUUUUUGUCCAUCAUGUUAUAAUGAUAUGAAAUCUAUAUUAUUGGCAUUUCAUUUGUGAAUAAUGAUAUCGUGGUCUCAUGAUUUUGCCACCAUCCAUAUGUUACCAUUGAUGGAUGUCCCUAAAUAGAUGUAGCUUACAUAUCUGAUGUGGUUCGGUCUCUAUGUGGGACUUUGCAUCUCAAGAAAAGACUUUACCUCCAAAAUUUCCACCUAAUGAAAAUAUUGUUUGGUAAUCAAUGUAAAAUAUACUUUUAAAAGCAACUUUGGACUGACAAGCCCUAUCUUCUCUCCCAAACCCCAACCCCCUUAAAUUCAUUACAACCGUUGCCACCACUCACCGACGGCCACACCACCAUCCAGACCAGACCGAGACCUCCCCUUGUCCACUGAGAAAAUAUUGGAUGGUCUCGGAGCGCCAGGUCACCGUGCACCCCCAACCAAUGAGAAAGUGACGCGUUGCUCCACGUGAGCACGAGCGGCCCCACUGAUUUUUCUGCACAAAAUAUAUUAUUUUCUCUUUUCUAUUUAAAAAUUUACUGUCAUCGAUAGACUUGUUGCAUCUUUUUUCUCUCUUUAUCUUUUUUGGAGUAGGCCUGCACGCAUUAAUGGCGCUUUCUCUCUCCUCCAGCUUCCCUUCCCUCCUUUCUUUCCUUCUCAAUUCAAAAUUUUCGGUGAGAAUUCACUCUCUACGUUGCGUUGCUUCUCCGGCUUGUUCCGGGGUUGGGUCAUCUCUGCUCUCUGGCCCAAAGCACGUUGCUCCUCCGCCUUGCUCCGACGCUCACUCAUCUUCGCUCUCUGCCCCAAAGCUUGUUGCUUCUUCGGCCUACGUCGUUGUGUUCCUUCUCCGCCUUGCUCCAGUGUGGUUUCCGAGCGCAAGACGGUGAAGAAUGUUCUUGCUGUAAGUCGCAGACUCCAAGCGACAAGAAGUUGCAGCUCUCUCCGAUUUGGCUUCGGAUUUGCUACGUUCGUGGCUCGUAACAGUGAGUUGAUUUGGCGAAUGCUUGCUGUGACCGGCUGCACAAGCUGCUGGUGAAGAAGAUGGAGGGGUGGACCGGCAUGUGUAGCGACAAAGGUGGAGAGAGAGAGUGGAGGAAGGUGAUGGAGGCGUCGUGCGGAAAGAUGGAUGAGGAGGUUGGAGGGAAUGGGGUGGACGCGUCAAUGAGGAUGGCAAGGUUGACGGCGGUGGUGGCGGUGGUGGGGAAGGAGGUGGCGAUUUGAAACUUCCAAUACGAUUCAAUCGUUUUCAGGCGAUCAAAUUUCUAUCAUUUCAUUUCAUCCAAAUGAGAUCAUAAAUGAGGAGAGUUAUGGCUUUCGGCAUUUUGUAAGUUUGACAGUAAAGAGUGCCUGAGUGAUAUGGUUCCUGAUCAGUUUUUUUUAAGUGACAAAUGCACUAGACGUAUUAAAAUUUAUCACGAAAAUAUAAUAAAGUCUUAAAAUUUCUAAGAUUUAAUGGAGUUUUAAAAUUUAUCACAAAAAUAUAAUCAAGUCCUAAAAUUUCAAAGUUUUAAUCGAGUCCUAAAAUUUCAAAGCUUUGUAAGUUGUAUAAUUAACGGAAUGGAAAGCAUAUUAAAUUUGGAGGAUGAGCAUAGUAAUUGAAGAACGCCACCGCCUGUACGCGCUUCGUAAUUGACCGACUUGGUGGGCAUACGGUUUGCUGAGCACGAUGUUGAGGAAGUUUCGCUGGAUAGAUCUUAAGGAAGGAAUUCCGCAUGAACACGAUAGGAUCAAACUUGUCCUGAUCUUACCCUUGGUUUUCGCUUAAGGAUUCUCUCGUAUAAUGUCAUGAGUCGUAACGGCUAGAGUUAUAUGCGGUGAAAUUGACGAGGUUUAUACAUUUUUUUUUGCACGUUGAGAUUCAUUUGGUAACGUUUCUGUUUCGAAAAGUAAUUUUUUUUCAAAAAUAAUCUUUUUCAAUUUCUAUUCAUCGGAAUAACUUUUCAAUAAAAAAAGAUGUUUAGUAACUACACAAAAUUUCUAUUCUCAGAAUAGUAAAAGAAUAGGAAUAUAUUCGGUACAAUUCACAAAAUUUAUUAUAAUGUAGAAUUUCUUUUUCUUGGGAUUCAUUUAGUAACGCUUCUAUUUCGGGAAACAAUUUCUUUUCAAAAAUAGUCUUUUUCUAUUUCUAUUCCCUAAAUAACUUCUCAAUAAAAGAACGCCUUUAGUAACUAUACAAAAUAUCUAUUAUCAUAAUGGUAAAAUAAUAUGAAUAUGUUUGGUACAAUUCACAAAAUUUAUUAUAAUAUAUAAUUUCUUUUAAUUUUUUCCUUAUUCUUCCUUACGGCCAUUGCCGAUGACCACCGAUGACGCCGCCCGCCACUCGUCACCAUUGGUCACCGUGGAUCUGUAGUCAACCGCAGUUGUUGGUGGUAGUGAACAACGGGCAGCGGCAAUCGGUGGCGGCAGGCGGUGUCGUUGGUGGUCAUCCAUGGUGGGGGUGGUCGGCGGCAGCGACAUCGACAAUCAUUGGCGACGACAACAUUUGGCAACGAUAGCAGUAGGUCAACAAUGGUGGGCAACGAUGGUUGGUCAGCGGUAGGUGACAGACGAUAGAGGGGGGUGGCAGUCAAUAAAGAAUAAAAGAAAAAAAAAUGAAAAUGACUUAUUUCUAUAAAUUAUUUUCAAGAAUAAGAAAUUACUUUUUUCUACUUCUUGUUUUUAUUCAAAAUCUAUUCCUCAACCACUUUUCUAUUUCAGGGAUUAAAAAAAUUAAUGACGUUACGAAACGGAUUUUUAUUUUUUUUGUUCUAAGGAACAGAAGAGUAGAAAUUAUGAAAAUAGAAACGUUACCAAAUAGGGUCUUGAUGGUUAGAUGGGAUAAGAACAAACGACAAUAUGCCAAUUUGCCGACUAGAAAAUUAUAUAUUGUAUCUUGCAGCAAUGUGCUCCAUCACUAAUUGUAAAAAAGAAAAUUAUCAAAACAAUUCUAAACUUAUUGCAAUUUUUUUCAAUUUAAUAAUAAACUUUUUUUUGUCAAUUCAAUUUUAAAUAUUUUGCAUUUGUGCUAAUUCAAUCUAUCCUAUCAAUUUUGGUAAACGGGUGCUAAUAUGGAUGCUAGUCGACAAUGGCUAUUUAGUCAACGCUGAUGUGUCACUUUUUAAUAUAUUUUUAUUUUUUCUCUCUAUUUUUUUUUCUCUUUUCUUCUUCCGUUGGCCAGUAGCUAGAGGCUAGGGCUAGUGAGGUCGACCUCACGAUGCUAACCAAGGUCUCGCCUAGCCAAAUUUGGGCAAUCUCGACCUUGCCUAGUGAUAACGAGGCUAGCCUUUACCUUUUGCCCUUGCUGUUGUGGUGCUGGCCAAGGUCUCGCCCAACUAGAUUUGGGUGAGGACGAGCCUCACCAUGAUUGGACAAGCUCAACCAGCCCUCACCCUCGCCGACAUGGAGCUUGCCAAGCCAUAUUUGAGCGAACUAAACCUUGCCCUCGCCACCCCCUAGUCCAACCAAUGAGAUUGACUUUGCUGGCCUUUAGUCUUUGGAUCAGUGAGAAGAAGGAUAAAGGAGAAAAUGAAAAAUUAAAUAAACUAAAAAAUUGAAACGAUUGAGUUGACAUAAAUAUUAAAUAUUUAAAAUUGAAUUAAUAAAGGAAUGAUUUAGGGUCAAACCGGAAAAAAUGCAAUAAAAAACUUGAUGAUGACUUGAGUAGAAAAUGUGAUGAAGUCGGCAACAUGUCCUUUUCGGAAUUGGCGUGCCGUUGUUAGUCAAUAUGGCGAAGUCCUUUUCUAUUUUUUUAAGUUUCUUUGGUCAAUAAAGACAGCUUCUUCACGUUGGCCAAAGAGGAAUUGGUGGUGAUUAAGGGCACAUUUAGUAACGAUUUUAUUCCCAACAACAUAUUGUGAUUUGAAAUUAUUAUUUUUUAUUUUGUUCCCGAGAACAAUUUUUAAGCAUUUUAAACUGUUUGGUAACUAUCCAAAAUUUAUGAUUCUGGAAUAAAAUUGUGUUUGGUACCGUACUCGUUGAUUCUGUUCCAAAUCAAUUUCUUUUCAUUUUUAAAUAAUUUUUUUUACUUUUUACUUAUUUUCUUUUUAUUUCAUUUUUUUCUUUUUUUUUUCUUUCUUUUUUUUCCUUUUUCUCCUAUUCUUCUUCUUCUUAUGGCCGAUCGCCAGUUCGGCGAUCGGCCAGACGAGGACCGGCAACCUCAUCGGAGCGUUGUCGGCCCUUGUCGGCCGAGCCUCGCCAAUAGUUGGGCGAGGCUCACCUAACCCUGCCAAGGCUCGGCCUCACCAACUCAGCCUCACCAGCAGCCAGGUUGACCUCGCUGGGCUGGGUGGGGCUGGGNNNNNNNNNNNNNNNNNNNNNNNNNNNNNNNNNNNNNNNNNNNNNNNNNNNNNNNNNNNNNNNNNNNNNNNNNNNNNNNNNNNNNNNNNNNNNNNNNNNNUCAAUUUAAUGGACAUUAACAAAUGACCAGAUGAGUUUAGAUACAAUAUGUAAUGACUUAAUUGAUAUGCAAUACCCACAUUCAGCAGAUCUGUUAAUUAGUACAAUCAGUUUGGUCACAGGUUCUUAAGACGUCCAUCAUUCAAAGGUUACCAGCAUGUAAAGGAGUAUGCAUGAGUAACCAAAAGUUUCAUAACCUUUUGCCGUUUCUCAUCACUUCAAUACAUAAUUCAAUUAUUAUCCCAUAAUGGUUGUAUCUCAUUAAGCCAACUUCAGUUCACAAUAAAUUUUAAUUUUUAUUAAUGAAUCACACCAUUAUAAUGUUUAUAUGAUAACAUACCUGUAAUCCAACACUUGUAUUUCCAAAAUCACAGAAAAUACAAGAAAAAUACGCAAAAAUACACUAAAAAUACACGUAUUUAGGGAUUUGUAUGUAUUUUCACAUCCAUAAAAUCAUCAAACAUAUAAAAUAAAUACACCACAAGAUAGAGAAUGAACAUGCGAAUCCAACGCCGCCAGCCAUGCGCUGAUCUGAUGCUCCACGAGCCUACACGCACCACCUAAGUGCAUGGCACGUGGAGCCCAUGAGCUAGCGUAUCUUAACCGGUCAAAACCGGUCCAACCGGUAGCGGUCCGAUCGGUUCCCGAUUCAACUAGUUGACCGGGUCGGGUCGGGUUGGCCGCCAAUUGGGUCCCGGUCGCUAAUGUCACUAUGGCGUUAGCAUACGUGCGUGUGUCGCACAUGCAAGCUGCGCCUCGCACGUGAGGGCGUGUGACCGCGCGUGACCACGCGUGGGGCGCGUCUCCUACACCCUGACAGCNNNNNNNNNNNNNNNNNNNNNNNNNNNNNNNNNNNNNNNNNNNNNNNNNNNNNNNNNNNNNNNNNNNNNNNNNNNNNNNNNNNNNNNNNNNNNNNNNNNNNNNNNNNNNNNNNNNNNNNNNNNNNNNNNNNNNNNNNNNNNNNNNNNNNNNNNNNNNNNNNNNNNNNNNNNNNNNNNNNNNNNNNNNNNNNNNNNNNNNNNNNNNNNNNNNNNNNNNNNNNNNNNNNNNNNNNNNNNNNNNNNNNNNNNNNNNNNNNNNNNNNNNNNNNNNNNNNNNNNNNNNNNNNNNNNNNNNNNNNNNNNNNNNNNNNNNNNNNNNNNNNNNNNNNNNNNNNNNNNNNNNNNNNNNNNNNNNNNNNNNNNNNNNNNNNNNNNNNNNNNNNNNNNNNNNNNNNNNNNNNNNNNNNNNNNNNNNNNNNNNNNNNNNNNNNNNNNNNNNNNNNNNNNNNNNNNNNNNNNNNNNNNNNNNNNNNNNNNNNNNNNNNNNNNNNNNNNNNNNNNNNNNNNNNNNNNNNNNNNNCUAGACAGCCUCAUAUUAGACUAAUUAAGAAAUUUUCUAUCUGACCUUAGAUCAACCCUGUGUUUACGGUAACUGUAAAAAAAGUAAAUUAUAAUAUCAAUUAAUGUAGUCCAUAUUAGGAAAUUUUUUACGUAUCCAUCUCUCCAAACCCCCAAAUUGCCCCUCAAUUUGCCCUCAAAACUGCUCCUUUGCAGGAUCUCAAUCCUUGUGUACGAUCACCAGGACAAGCUGCUAUUGCAGGUUGGGCAUGUUUAUUCGGUUUCCUGUGUCGAAUUUGAAUAAGAAUUGAGGUCGAUGUUGAUGUCUAUUCAUGUUACUGCGAGAGUUUGUUUAUUUUCACGGGUUCCUGUUAUUUUCGAAUUAGUUGCAAUUGAUUUCAUUUCAUUCGUGUUGGAAUCGAGGAACUGUGCUUGUAGGGGCACCCGAAGCGGGUCCUGCUUCUCUAUCCGUGCAUGCUUUAUCUCUACGUCGACAUGAUCGUGGGGCUGAGCAACGCCGCCGCGCGCUGUCCUCGGCGUCGAGCUUCAGAUGCCCUCCGACGAGCCCUACCUUUCCAUGUCGUUCCAAGAUUUCUGGGGCCGGAGGUGGAACCUCACCGUGACCAACGCCCUGCGGCACACCGUGUACAAGCCCCUGAAGUCGUUCCUCGAACCGCACUUGUGGGCCGCAUGGGCGACGGCGGCUGCAGUCAUGGCAGCGUUCCUCGCGUCCGGGCUGAUGCACGAGUUGCUGUACUAUGACGUGACACGUGCGAGGCCUACUUGGGAGGUGACGGGGUUCUUCGUGCUGCAGGGGGCGUGCGUGGUGGUGGAGGUGGCGGCGAAGGCGGCGGUGGGGGAGAGGUGGAGGCUGAGCAGGGCGGUGUUGACGCCGCUGACGGUGGGGUUCAUGGCGGCGACCGCCAUGUGGCUGUUCUUCCCGCAGCUGAUCAGGAAACGGGGCGGACGCGAGAGCCAUUAAAGAGUGCAAGGCUUUCGUGGAGGGGCUGAGGCCCAAGUUCUGACACGCGGUACGAGGCAUUUGGGGUAUAUUUAAUGUGCACAAUGUUGUUCUUACGAAAUCGGUUAAUCACAUUUCAAAAAUUUUCAAGCUAACAUUGGUCCUCAGUUACUGGGAAAAAAAANNNNNNNNNNNNNNNNNNNNNNNNNNNNNNNNNNNNNNNNNNNNNNNNNNNNNNNNNNNNNNNNNNNNNNNNNNNNNNNNNNNNNNNNNNNNNNNNNNNNNNNNNNNNNNNNNNNNNNNNNNNNNNNNNNNNNNNNNNNNNNNNNNNNNNNNNNNNNNNNNNNNNNNNNNNNNNNNNNNNNNNNNNNNNNNNNNNNNNNNNNNNNNNNNNNNNNNNNNNNNNNNNNNNNNNNNNNNNNNNNNNNNNNNNNNNNNNNNNNNNNNNNNNNNNNNNNNNNNNNNNNNNNNNNNNNNNNNNNNNNNNNNNNNNNNNNNNNNNNNNNNNNNNNNNGCUCUCACUAAUAAAAAAAUUGCCCUUUGAAGCUCGAUAAAAUUACAUUCCUACUGUCAUGAGUUUUCAGACAACCAUUUCGCUCCAUUUUGUCGGAGAUUGUAUCGUUACUCUUUCAAAUAAUGUUAUACUAGGACCAGUCUACUAUAACAUGAAGACAUCAAGUUCUUAUGCUUAGAAUCGUUGGAUCAUCACAAUUAAAUUUCAGCCAUUGAUCAUUAACGGUUGAGAGUCAUUAUUGGAGAUGCCUCACAGCAUAAUAGCCUAGUUCAUCUAACUAGGUUGUCAAGAAAUUUGUUGAACUAGAAUUUAGGUUCAGAGAAUGUUUAUGCUCCAUGGUAGAUGCUCAUUCCUUUAGAGCGAUGCAAAAUUGAAUAAAAAGUGAGGAUGUAAUUACAGACAGCUUAAGUUAGGGGACUGCGCAAAUAAAAUCAAAUCUGAGGACUCAAUAGAAAAAAGAGUGCAAGUUGCAACGAUCCACAAGUGGUACUCUUUUGGGGAAAACUCCAUCUCAACUUUAUUCCCGUUAUCGUCCUGCAUAUGUCCCUUUAUACUUCCUCUUUUUUUGUUUUUUUUUUUAUCAAAUAUUUCCCUCACUUUAGAGUCCUCCAAUUUGCACUUUAAUUUUCGUUAAUAGAUUUCGAUUGGACCAAAAUGCCACUAGUCUUUAAAAAGUGCCAAACGUACUUUCUAAGCCCACCUCGAUCUUCUUUUAUUGAGAGAAGGUAACAUACGGCACAGUAUUCAAUGGUUAGGCAGCAUGACAUCAUAAGCUAACUUUAGCAUUAAUUUUUUUUUUCGAAUCCAAUAAAAAUUGAUACUUGUUCAUGACGUGGCACAUAAAUGAAAAAAUCUUUCUCUGGUCGCAACAGUGGGGGAAUCUCUCUUUCUUUGCCCUGUUCUGUUGCAGCAAAUGGACGAGCCGCAACAAAGUGAGUGGCUUGGCCAUGGACGGCAACGACUGCGAGCCACGGCAAUGACGAAGGGAUGGCUCGGCCAUGGAUGUGCGGUAGUGGUCGGCUUGGAUGCAGUGCCGGCGACUCUGCUGGUGACUCUGAUGGAGGGAGUGGCCGUGGAUGGAGAAUGAAGAAGAGACCAAAAAAGAAGGGCUGGUUUUUAAUUCUUUUAUUUGUUUGCCACGUCAUAGACAUGUCAAUUAUUCAUUGGAUUUCAGUACAAAAAUGCAUGCCACAUCAGCUUAUGAUGCGAUUUUAACUAACCACCGAAUAAUUUCUAGCAAUAUAUCAAAAAUUAUAGAAAUAGCUUAGAGUGCGUUUGAUUGGAUUUCUAGGGAAAGUUUUGGGAAAAUGCAAAAGAUUUUAAGUUAAAAAAGUUUUCAAAAAUGAAAAUUAUGUUUGUUAAAUUAUAAUUUAAAAAUCCAUUGUGAAGUACUUUUGAGUAAAAUAGUACUUGGAUAAGGAUUUUAAUUAUUUAAAAAAAGAAAAAAAAAACAAUUGGCCCUUUGCCGACUAAGGGUAGGCCAUCGCCGACUAAGGGCAGGCCAUCGCCGAUAAUCCAGAUCUAUUGUCGAUAACUGUCGUCUAAGGUCGCAAGACCUCAAACAGCCCCUGGAGACCAUUGGCGAGGGCCACUUCGGGUCGAGUGACCCUAGCGCGGGUCAUGUGCUACUAGGGGUCAUGUGACCUACGUAACCCCUUACAACUUCGAAAGUCACUUGAACCCGACGAGGGCUAGUUGGGUCAUGCGACCUUCAUAGCCGUAACAACUUGCAUAACUCGUUACAGCUCAGAAGGUCACUCGAAUCCAACAAGGGCCAGUUGGGUCUUGUGACCUACGUAACCCCUUAUAGCUUCAAAGGUCACUCCAACUCGAUGAGGGCUAGUUAGUUCGCGCAACCCUCGCUAGGGGUCACUUGACCCCAACAAGGGCUAGUUGGGUUUCUUAACCCCAAGUAGCCCCUUGCCGAGGUCAUGUGACCACCGAGGGUUGUCUGCCGUCUAGAUUAGGCGACCUCGUCCAGCCUUGUGAUGGUCAUGCAACCUAGAUGAUACUCACCUACACGGUCGCUUGGGUCGCUCCGACUAGGGGUGAGCAAUUUCAGGUUCCGAUUCGAUUCCGUCUAGAACCUGGAAUCUACCCUCGGGUAUAGAUUCCUCAUUUUUUGAAACCUGAAACCUACCCUCGGGUACAGGUUCCUCAUUUUUUGAAACUAGGAACUUACCCGUCAGAACCAAGAAUCUCGAACCUACCCUGUCAAGAGUUCCAGGGUCGGUUCUAGGUUCCUACAGGUUUUUUUUUUUUUUCACUUUUAGAUUUGAACUACAAUGUACGCGCUUUACCAAAAAAAAAAAAAAAACUAUAACGUACGCACAUACUCUACGAUAACUUCCCACAUCUUAGCAAACAUAGUAUAUACCAAUGCCAACUGCCAAGAAUUUGGACAUACAUAAUCAAAACCAAUAAGAAGUUUCCAAAGAGGAAAGGAGGGGCUUGAUUAACUAUAUUAUUGUGCCCACAUAAGUCAAUAUAUGUACACUAAAGUUUAAAUCGUCACAUUUGCUAUAUGUCAUAUGCCUUAUCAACUGAGUCAAAUGAAAAUGAUUAAGCAAAAUAUACUAAGAAGAUGAAAAACCAGAAGUGCCAACAAGACGAUGAAGCACAUGAAAAUGAUGAAGCAAAAUNNNNNNNNNNNNNNNNNNNNNNNNNNNNNNNNNNNNNNNNNNNNNNNNNNNNNNNNNNNNNNNNNNNNNNNNNNNNNNNNNNNNNNNNNNNNNNNNNNNNCAACAUUUCCCUAUGAUUCCUUUAGCACAGCAAACCCUGCAAAGACAUGGAUAAAAAUCAAUCAAAAUCCUAAGUAAAGACACAUCCAAAAAUCAAUAUCGAUAAUACUCCAUGAAGCAUGUCAUUUUGCCCAUCUAAAGUCUCCUAAAUUCUUUAACAACAUAGUUCAAAAAUUCAAUGUACAUAAGAGUAGCCUGCAUUAAGAUUACGAUAAACAAAGUUGCUCAUCAAUCAACUUCUGCGUAGUUAAAGCAGCACAAAGCCAACAAAAAACCUUGCUUGACUUCUCAACCGCUGGACCCAUUAUAGAUGUGACACCACCAACUCUAAUUAUCGACGAUAAUCUUCGCAUUAAGACCAACCAUAUCUAAAGAAGAAGAAGAAGAAGAAGAAGAAGAAGAAGAAGAAGAGGUUAAAUAAAAUAUUCACUUAUCAGAUUUACAAAAAGAAUUACAAUAUAUAAAGAUAUAAAUAUUAUUUACCCAACUAAAAUUGUUCUGCGUUCUCGAUACACUCUUCAACAUCAAGUGGUACACGAACGGCUCUCAACCAAUCUUGAGUGCAAAUCAAAGCUUCCACUACUUUGAGAGUUAAAGAACUUCGAAAGCCAUCAAGCACACGACCCGAUGUACUAAAAGUUGACUCUGAAGCAAUGUUAGUUACAAGAAUGGACAAAAUAUCUCGAGCCAUCAAAGAAAUGAUCUUAUAUUUUGAGCCAUUAGUCUUCCGCCAAAUCAAAAUGUCAAGACCAAGAUCAUUUUCAUGUUUUUCUUGAAGAUACUCAUCAAGCUCGGACUUGUUGUUAUUGCACCCUUGUUUAUUCGAGUAUAAAAACAUUUUCUUCCAAGCUUGGUUGUCAUAUUUCUUUAUUCCUUCAUUACCACCCAUAUCGGUAUUGGAAUUGGAACUACUACUACUUGCACCUAAAUUAUGGUCACCAAAAUCUUGAUCACUUGAAAUAAGAUAAGAUUGUUCAUAAAAUUCAUACAAACGCUCCAAUGCAUCCUUUACCUUGUAAUGCAUCUCUUUAAUUUUCGAUUCAUCAUCAUAAAUUUGUCCAUACAAGAAACUCACAUAAUUUAACUUGGCUCUAGGAUCUAACACAAUCGCAAUCAACACCAUUAUAUUCACUUUAUUCAAACUUUCAUAAUAUUUGUCAAAUUUUUCUUUCAUUUUCACACCCAUAGCUUGAAACUUAUGAUCCGAAGCAUUAACCACAUCUUUCAAAUAUCUAUACAAAAGAGCUAUCCUUUCAAAAUAAUCAUUUGAAGUAACAUAUGAAGUCCUAGACAUUUUAUUGGUGGCAUUAUAGAAUACUUUUAGAAAAUCCGAAAGAAUAAUAGCAUUUUCUCAAUCAUCAUCACUAGGAGUUUCAUGAUUAAGCUCACUUACAAAAGAUAGAUCGUGAUCUUCCAUCCUUUCGAAAGCUUUUCUGAACUUUAUGGCGGUGUCUAACAUGAGGUAAGUGGAGUUCCAUCUAGUGGCAACGUCAAGAACUACUGAACCCUUAUAAGUGAACUUUUCUCUCUCAAUGCAAGAUUGAAAUCCUUGGGCUCUCAUGGGAGAACUCCUUACAUACAUAACCACAUUUCGAAUACGUGCAAUUGAGUCAAAUGCCGUACUCAAUCCAUCUCUCACAAUCAAAUUUAAUAUAUGAGCUGUACACCUCAUGUGCAAAACACUACCAUCUAAUAUCAACGACCUUUGUUUCGAAAAUUUUUGCCUCAAAUAGCUAAUUGCAACAUCAUUCAAGCUAGCAUUAUCCACGGUAAUUGUGGACACCUUUUUUUUUUUUUUUUCUAUUUCCCACUCCUCAAUGCAUUUCUCCACCAUUUUCUCAAUCUCCUUACCCCUAUGACUAUGCAUCACCACAAAGUUGAUGAUUCUUUUAUGCAACUUCUAAUUUUCAUCAAUAAAAUGUGCAAUGAGACACAAAUAAUUCAGAUUUUGAUUGGAACUCCAUGUAUCAGUCAUGAGUGCGAUCCUAGAAUUAAUCUUUCCAAAAUAAUUCUUCAAAGAAGUUAUUUCACAUAAAAACAACUUCAUGCAAUCUUUUACCAUUGUGAAACGUAAUACAUGUUUGAAGAGAGGUUGUAACUCAGUAACAUAUUCACGAAAUCCAACACACUCAACCAAAGAAAAAAGUUUGCUCAUCAAGGAUGAUGAACCGAGUAAGCAUGUGCCUACAACAUUCUUGAUUAAAUGAUCAUAUCGAUAAGACGCUACCAGUACUAGAAUCUUCUCCUGCCUUGCCAGCCAUGUUGACAUUACGUGGUGCAAAUAAUUUAUGCAUCUUAUCUACAUUAUGAUGAAACCUCUUGCAUGUGGUCAAGUGCUUCCUCAUUGCAGAAGUACCGUUAGCAACAUGGUACUUAAGCAUGCACCCACAAUGAAUACACUUCACUUGAUAUAUUUUUUCAUCCUUAUCAUUGAUUCUUGAAUAAUGAUUCCAGCAUUCAGAUGUAUAUUUCUUAUUAUGAGGAAGGUGAGAACUGGGUACCUUAUUUGUGGCACUCGAGGUAAAGGGUGCCUUUUCUUCAAUUUCAUCGCCAGAAAACUCCUAUUUCGUAAUCGGAGUCAUCUCCUCACAUCCCUCCACCUCCAUUGACGUGUUAUCUUGACACAUUAAUUUCGCACUACACAACAAUAAUAGAAUAUAAUUAGACAUUUCAAAACAGAAUGUGAAUUGAGUUAUAGAAUAUGUAGGCAGCUACUAAAAACCAAAUCAAUACACAACUUUCCCCUCAAAAAACGCUCUUAAGUAUUGUAGACAAUUAGCUUUUACUAAAUGAUAAUAAUCUGUGUAUUUUCAUAGAUGAUAACUCGUGCGCAAAUGACACAAGCUAAAAGGAGUCAAAUUUGAUCAUGCAUAUAUCCAUUAUGCAGCACAUUGUUAUCCUUCUCUUAUAUUACCUCUGCAAUUAAGGACCAGUAAUCUAGAAAAGCCACCCAAAACAAAGAAGUUAAGCAUCUAGAUUGCCAAAAUUCAAAAACAUCGGCUUGCCCAAAACAAAGAAUUGAUCAGAGCAGUUUCAUUGAGCAAGUAGUCAUAGACCACAACUUGCAUUUCUUUUCUUGUUCCAUUAAAUUGUGAAGGCAAUGACAACUUUGUUUUAUGUAGAAGUACCAGCUUUACUUGAGCAGGUUACAGAAGAAAAAUGAACUAAAAUUUCUAAUGGGGGGAUGAAGCAUUCGGAUCUAAACCCACAAGAUGCUACCACUGGUAUAAUGAUGCUAUCAGAACUCCAUCAAUUUGAAAUUGUUAGCAUAAUGAUUUGGUACAUUAGAACUCCAUCAAUUUCUAGCAAAAUGAUGCUACAAAAUACAAAUGGCAACUCAAAAUUUGCUGCCAACAACUUGCUUAUCCAGAAUUUGAACUCCAAAAACAAUGAAAUUGACACCAGAGGGACUAUAAUCACUGAGCAAUCUAGUCUUAGAAAUUAGGAAUCAAUCACUCACUCCCUCCACUGGAGCAGGAAAUGAAAUUCACAGCAUUUGAUGGUAUUACCCCGAGAUCGUACUCUUGGAGUGAACUUCCAGAAAUCCAAUUUCACUGGGUGAGCGGCGUCCGGCGCUGAGCAGGGACGUCGGUCGCUGGUCUUUGGGGCAACAACGUCAGGCAUCGCGACUGCUGGCGUCGGGUCAUUAGAGCAGAGGCGGAGACGGCAGUAGCGGCGUCGUGGGUAAGAAUCAGAAUCCUAGUGACCAACAGCUAUGAUCGAACGGCUGAGGAUGGAAUCGCGGCAGGAACGGUGGUUUCUGGCGUCUGGUUGCAGCGGCGGUGGAGUAAAGGAGGACCCAACAGCAGGGGCGUCGGGGCUUUUGGCGCGAGCAGGGACGUCGGUCGUUGGUCUUCGAGGCAAUGGCGACAGGCAUCACGACUGCUGGCAUCGAAUCAUUGGAGCAGAGGUGGAGACAGCAGCAAUGGCGUCGUGAGUCAAAAUUGGAAACCUAGUGACUAGUAGCUAGGGGUGUGCAUAGUCCGGGCAGGCGGUUCCUGACCUAGAAACGGAAACCGCUCGCUAAGGACCGGUUCCGAAAAAUUGGAACCGGGAUCCAUUCAUUUGUUGCAUGGAUCCAUCUGGGAACCAGACCGUCGAUCUGGUCCAGUUCCCGAGUGGAUCCAUGGAGCCGAUCUUGACGCGAAGGUGAGCUGUGGCGUCGCGGUCACGGGCGAGCGGGCAAAGGGCGCUCGUGGCUGCUGGCGCGGUGGUCAGCGCGGAGGCGAGCUAUGGCGUCGCGAGUCACUAGGGUUUUGACAUCAGGCGACAGAUGAGCUCGAUAGAUCGGGCUACGUCCGUUCGCCUCGCGCAAAUCCGAGCCGAGAUCCUUGGGAAACCGACCCCAUAUCGGAAAAGUCGAGAACAAAGGGGGACGAAAUCUACCGUGAUUUUGACGCGAAAGAGAAGUCGAGGUGGGUCGUUGGCUACGGUUCAAGCGUGGUGGUCAACGGCAACUCUUCCUCACACUCUACCCUUACUCACAGCUCUCAGAUCUCACUCGAUCUCCCCCUCUCUUUUCAACGUCUCACAUAUCUCUCUCUCUCUCUCUCUCUCUCUCUCUCUCUCUCUCUCUCUCACACACACAUCAUCUCUACUUGACCCCCUUCAUUGAACUCCAGGAGGCCCUAUUUAUAGGCUUAAGGGUCCGGUCGAUAGGGGCAUUUCCACUGUCGAUCCUGGGCACGCCGACCGGCCUCCCUCUUGGCCGAACCGGCAUCUCAACUUGUCUUCUCCGCGUAGGCCUGCUCGGCAUCGAAGGCGUCCGCCAAGACGUCCCCUCCGUCCGGGUUUCUCACCGGAUCUCACGCUGCUCUGUUCGGCAGCAUUGAUGUCUCCUACGAGGCGUCCCCUCCGUCGUCGGUCUACCCUCCUCUCUCUCUACCCUAGGUUGUCCUACGUGCCUUUGGUCUUCACCGAGCGUGGUGUCCACUGUCUAGCACGAGGAAGGAAGGAGGAAGAUGAAGAGGAGAGGCCCGGACUGCGGAAAAGAUGAAAAAUGGAUUGGGCUAGCUCGUGUGAGGGAAAAGAAGAAAAGAGGGGAAAAGAGGGAAAAUGGUCCGAUAUCGCUAGGGUUUGUUUUAGUAUAUAUUUUUUAAUAUUAAAUAUUAAUCGGUCCGGUCCGGGUGGGCGGGUGGGCAGAUCCGCCCAUGGAAUUGGGAACCGGACCGGUACCCACCAGUUCCCAUAAAUUGGAACCGGGAACCGGACCGGUUCCCUCAAGAACCACCGGUUCCGAGGGUUCCGAUCCGGUUUCGGGCUAUCCGAGCGGUUCCUGGGUAUUUUGCACACCCUUACCAGCAGCUACGAUCGGACGACCUGAGGACAGAAUCACAGCAGGAACGGUGGCUUCUACCGUCUGGUUGCAGCGGCGAUGGAGCAAAGGAGGACCUAGUAGCAGGGGCAUCGCGACUUUUGGCGCGAGCAGAGGCGGUGGGUCGCGAGCGGAGACAAGCUUGGCUCAGAUCUGCCUGCGUCGGGUAGUUGUGGCGGGCAAGAGUCAAAGCGGCAUUGGCGACAGGUAGAGGCAGAGCACGGCAGUGACGGGCGUCGAGCAGCAAGGGUUCGUGCGAGCGACGUCGGCGACUAGCGUCCAGCAACGAUGGCCUUGAGGGCGAGCGGCGUCCGGCGGCGAAACUCAAAGCGGCGUCUAAUAGCGUGAGUUCUCUCCCAUAAAUCUGAAAGUCUGGACUCGGGAGCGCCGAGCAGGGGAGGGGGGCUCCUUUUUGAACCCUAACUAACCAGUUCCGGUUCCGGUUCCGAUUCUGCGACUGAUUCCGGUUCCGGUUCCACGACCGGUUCCAAUUCCAAUUCCCAGAAAAAAGGAACCGAGAACCAGAAUCUAGGAACCGGAACCGGUCCUUUAAGAAACCGAAAACCGAACCAGAACAGUGCUCACCUAUAGCUGCAACCCUGCCGGCCUCUCUUUAGCUUGUUGUUGGCCUCUUGUAGCCACAUGCAACCACACCGAUUGACCCCAAUGGAGAAAAAGAUGAACAAGCACAAACAAGGGUCAAACUGGAAAAAAAAAACGAUCAGCGUGGAUAGUUUUGGAAGAUUUUUUUUUUUUAACAAACCCUAGGCUUCUUGCAUGCCGAGAAGGCCGACUUUUCCUCAAGGUGGGUGUCAAGAAUUUUACCAAACACCCAAUAUUUGAUCCGAAGAGAUAUGGAUGCCUAAAGUCCCUUCCCAAAGUCUUUUCUAGACGCAACCUUAAUAACUAGCCCCACACAAGUUAUAAAACCGGGUCCUUUGCGCAUGGUCUUGUAUGCCGAGACUCAGACGUUCCGGCCGUUCAAUAGGACCGAGGCAUCGUGCGACCUUUCUGCCUAAUGAACGAAUAGAUUAACACAAUCUUGUUUGAUGUUGUUUGAGGCGGGAUUAAGGUCGACGGGUAGCACGCAGUGACAGGGGUUAUAAACUUGCACCUGGCCAAUUUCCCCGUCCCUGCGGACGAGCACCAGGAGAUCUUGGAAGACGCUCGAGUUGCCACUAGACCGAACAAUGUUGAUUUGAACCGGAUCGUGCAUUUUCGUGUCGCUGUCUCUGCAUUCGUUUGAAGACCUGUCAAGCAGUAUCACUUCUCCGGCGAGAUGGUUGGAUGAGCCGACGGAGAUGCUUACGUUUGGUGAGUCAAAGAGGACGUAUGUUCAAUCAAACUGGAGGAAUUUGAAGACGAUUCUUCGUUUGUUCGCAUGCCUUUCAAGCACGUCUUCCGUAGGGAGUGUAUGGCUGAGUGCUACGAGAGGAGAAACUUAAUACUUAUGUCCACUUCGCUGCCCCGAAGCUAUGCACACUUAUUAGCUAAUUAAUUCUAUUUGUUUAUCCCCUACAUUCACAGUUAAUAGGGAAAAUGAUAAUUACAAGCGCCUUUGAACCGAGUAGAGAUGUACAUUUCUUGUAUAAUAAUUUCAUUGCAAGCCAGACUUUUUCACUCUUUUUGCUCAUUUCUUUUACUGAUUACAUGUUCGCAUCGUUGGGAAGUACUAUGAUUCCGCAAGAUGUUUCAAAUAUAUGCCUUUUUCCAUAGAAUGCAUAUCCAUCGGCCAUCAGUACAUGAAGGUAUCUAUAAAUACUAAACAGGGGCAGUAUCAUCUUCCUUGACGUAUAGAGAGCUCGGAGCUUUAUUAUUCACACGCUUUCCCUUACAUAGUGCACUAGCUAGGAGGAGCAACAUAUGGCACUUCAGUAGUUUUCUAGUUUUUUCGGGGUAUUUUACUUUCUUCUUUCUGUCGGCCGUCGUGACAAUGCUACUUCCCAUGAUCACUGGGGCCGCCAUGGCUGCCAUGCCCACGCCCUCUGGUCAUCGUCGUCAUCGUCAUUGUCAUCGUCGUCGUCAUCAUCAUCGUCACCGUCGUCGUCAUCAUCAUCAUCAUCAUCAUCAUGGUCGUCGACGUCGCGAUGGACAGAAGCACUACGGCUGUACCCCUUCCCAAGACUACCGUGGCCUUUCCCGAGCCCAUAUUCCUUCAUGCUCUCUUACAUGCGCACAAAAAUUCAACAGAUUAUAUAUAUAUAUAUAUAUAUAUGAAGUAUGUAUACAGAGAAGAUAGAUGAAGUAGUGUGGAAACUUACGAGAUGAAUUAGUCUCCUCGANNNNNNNNNNNNNNNNNNNNNNNNNNNNNNNNNNNNNNNNNNNNNNNNNNNNNNNNNNNNNNNNNNNNNNNNNNNNNNNNNNNNNNNNNNNNNNNNNNNNUGGGCGUUGCGAGGCCAAGCUCCGCCUGGCCAAGCGGGCCUCCACCUAGCCACGACGAGCUCGCCGGACGAUCCAGCGACCGGCAGCGGCGUACGGUGGGGGACCGCCGGCGGACGGUGCGGACGGUGCGGCGGGAUGGCGAUCAAUGGCGGCGGGACAGCGAUCGAUGAAGAAGAAGAAAAGAGAAGAAGAGAGAAUAUAAGAAUAAAAAGAGUUGGUUUUGAUUCUUUGAUUUGUUUACGGAACAAGAAUCAACUUUCUUUUUUAUUCUUGAUUCUGUGCCAAAUAUACUUUCGGGAACAAAAAAAUAGAAAUUUGUUCCCGGGAACAAAAAAUUUACCAAACGCGAUUCUAUUCAAAAACUAUUCCUGAAAACAAAAAAUCAGAAUCGGGUACUAUUUGGAUGAUUACCAAACAGCCCCUAAGUAGUUUAAUAUUGUGCAGCAAGCAGCUUUGAUGCGCCACCAUCAAAGCUCAACUUUAGUCCUUGUUCUGAUUUGACUGUCUGACUCACAUGAUUUAUGCCCGGACAUACCAAGGCCAGUCGAAUGUUAUACCACGUUUGGCGCAAUGAAAUAGAACGGGAAAAAAUAAAACGAAGUUGAGGAAGGAAUGGAAUAGAAGAAGCAUUAUAAUUCUUGUAGUUGCUUGUUACGAUGGAAUAAGGUAAAAGGAAUUUGUUGAUUCCUUUUUUUGGGUUGAAAAAAAUUGAAAUGGAAGGAAAUGGUAUCAAAAUGUCUAAAAUAUCUCAAAAAUGUAAUAUAUGAGGAAGAAAAUAAGGGAAGCGCUCAAAGUAAUUGUUGUGAUGAUGUUAUUAUUAUCAAGGUCAUUUUCAUGGUGGAGCCUUGAAGUGGGCAUUUUUCCUCCUUAUUUGGUGGAAUGCUCAUGUUAUGCAAGGAGGUUAUGCUCAGGGUCAAAGAGGUUAGCUUGCGAUAUACGAAACAACAAUAGACAGCAAAUAAAAAUGACAUAUCAAGAAAACAGUCGCCAAUAAAUGAGCAAUAUAGAUCGGCCUUAGUAGCAGGAUUGUUCGUAAGUACUUAUGGAUAGAGAAAGUAGCAGUAGGACGGAUGAUCACUUAUGUCAUCUAAACUUAGACUUUUCCAGUCUUGGUUAGCUGUCAACACAUUCAAUUGUGUCCUCUCUCCUUCAAUUGGGUUGAGUUGCAUAUAAAGUUUACUCUUAUUUUAUGAUAAUAACAAUUCAUGUUUCGAAGUUAAUUACUGUAUGGCUUUCUUAAUACUCCUGUUAUGAAUAUGCAUUCUAAAUCUUUCAGAAUAAAUAAUAGGGGAAAUGUAAUUACGCUCAAAAUAAAUAUUCAUAUUGGAAUAAUUUUGUUCUAUCGAACACAAUCUCAUUUGAACAACAUGAGACAAAACACGAAUUGUAGAAAGACAAAUCCGAAUGCAAUAUAACACGGUACACAAUUUCAUAUAUUAAUAAGAAUUAAUGUAUAUAACAAUUUUUCAUCCUAAUUCAAUUAUUCAAUAUUGGUGGAGGAAAUUACGAGAAUUGCUUCCAAUUAUUGAAUGCCAAUAUUUUCUCACCAGUUAGGCCCAACCGUACCACUUUCCCUUCACAUGGCUAGUACUUCUAGUUCUUAAUGAAAAGACGCAAACCAAGAACGGAUUUGCCUAUUCAUCCCGCAUAGACAGACAUCAUCAAGUUUUUUAUGGUCGAAAGACAUCAUCAAGUUAAGACGCACCAUACCUUAAGGAAAGAGAGGGGGAGCGCCUAGCAUAAGAGAGAUAGGGAAAAUGGAAGAGGAAGCACGGAACUUCAUCAACGUGUGGCUCACGGUCCUCUCGUGCGUGUGCUACUGCUACUUCGUCUCCUCUAGCCUCCCGCCGGGCAAGCUCCAGCUCUUCUCUCUCCUCCCCGUCUUCUCCCUCUUCGCCGCGCUCCCCCUCCAGCUCUCCACUGUCCUCCCCACUGGCAUCACCUCCUUCUUCAUCACUUGGCUCGCCUCCUUCAAGCUCCUCCUCUUCUCCUUCGGCAAGGGCCCCCUCUCCUCCAGUCUCGAUUCCCAUCCCGACCCAUCGAAGUCCCUCUUCCUCUUCAUACUCUUCACAUGCUUCCCUAUCAAAAUCAAGCAAGCGCAAGACUACCCUGUUGGAUGCAAAUCGCGCAAUCCCAAGAUCUCCAUAACCAGAACAAGAACAUACAUAAUUGAGUAAAAAGAUUAACAUAUCUAUUUUGGGAUCCAUCAUUCUUGAAGCGGAAGUGGAAACACAAUGUUCCACGCGCAAGUCAUUCUCCUCUAUUGCCCUCCAUAUCACUAGCUCAAUGAGGCGGUCCCCUCACGUUUAGCGUUAGGUAAACACUCAUUAGAUGAUGAUACAUAUGAGAAUUAGGGUUAGAUGAGAGACUUGAACACUAUUCAUAAUCUUUCUUUGAAAUCCUUUUAGUUUUGUAUGCCAAUUUGCAACUAAUGAACUUGUAAUCUUUAGGCAAGUUAGUAAGUUUCCAAACAUUGUGAUGUUUCAUAGAUUGUAUAUCGUCUUUUAUGGUAUUUAAUCACAUACUUGAUUGAGGAUAAGAAACAACAUUUAUUUAUGUUGCUAAAUCAACCAUGUAGUGGAUAUUGUAGUCAUGCUCUCACAAAUAGACUAUAUAAUCUAUCGAAAUAACCUAUCAUCUUUUCCUAACAAAUCUCCUGAGUAAAGCUACAACCACUCCAUUAUAUACUUGAGAGGUUUAAAAAAAAAAUUCAUCAUAAAUUAUAUCAAGAAUAGUACCUUAAACCUCAACAAGUUUAGUCUAUGAUACAGGAGAUUCCAUAAUUGUCUGUACCACAAUUAUCUGUAUAGGCAAAGACAAAGACAUAGUGAUUUUUUAUCGUACUAUUAUCCUUAAUAAUCUGAGAGCAGCUAUCAUUUACAAUUACGUCGAAUUGUAGAAACUUUACAGUAUGUGAUUCCAUAAUACUUGUACCUUCUUUAGGGUCAUAAAAUUGAUAUCCAUUUUAACAAUCUUGGUAAGAUACAAAAUAAUUCUUAGUGGAUCUAAAUUCCAAUGCCAUUGCACCUCUAAAUUUCAUAUAUAUCUAGUUUAUAACUCAAAAAAAGUUUAUGAAACAACUUUUGUAUGUGAAAAGGUUGCUUUCAAAAUAUCAGCCCAUAGAAGAUCAGAUAAAUUAGUCUUACUAAUCAUACUCAUCACCAUAUUCAAUAUGGUGCAUUCAUGCCUUUUGGCCAAAUCUUUUUGUCAGGAUUUUCAAGCAUAGUAAUUAAGUUACCACCCUAGAAUCUACCAAAUAUUUGACAAAUGACCCUUUAAGCUAUUUCACAUUGUUAUACUUGUCAAAAUACUCACGGCCACUAUUAAGCCUGACAACCUUUUAAGACUAAUUGUAAUUAUUUUAUUCUUUAUCUCGAUAAUUUUACUUCCACAAUAAUCUAUAGAAGUCUAUAGAUAACCGUUAAAAGUAGACAGAAUAUCAACAUUGUCAACUUUUCUACUCUUUCUUUAGACAUGUGUGAGAUUAUUCCUUAAAUAGAAAAUUUUCGGAAACAACCUCUUUAACCGUAUACGAGAUGUAUAUGUCAUUAGGACUUAAACAUAAUCUUUGCAAAUGUGUCCUAAAUUCAAUAUUAGACAAAACAUAAUUACAAGCCACUAAGGCUUCCAUCGUCUUAUAGCAGUGCAGUUCACAAGCAUACCACAUUUUAAGUUUCCUGAAUGGAAUGCUUCAUGGACAGUAAGCAAAUUUUAUUACUCUUUUCCCAAGCAGCAAAUCAUAUGUCCACUACUUAAAAUUUGAAGUAAUAAAAAUCUCAAUAAUAAUAGAGUUAUUAAUUACAGAAAAUGUGACUGAAAAAACAAGUAAUGUAUAUAAUUAGCAUCAUGUGAGUACCGUAUAACUUGAUAUACAAGUACACAUCUAGAGAGUUACACGCAUAAUCAUAUAAUCACAUUUGAGCAGAAUACAUAACAUGCAGUUGUACACUCCCCACGUGAAAGCAGUUAUGAGAAUAUAUUCUAAUUUUUGUUAAUUCAUCACCUUUGGACGUAUGAACCACAAGAAUCAGUCACUCCUCCACCACACCAUCAUGCAUCCCUCCGUGAACUAAUAAUACACAAUCACCUCAUUUGAGAGUAUGACAAUGCAUUAAAUUAGGAGACAUCUCAAUUAUUAUACGAGACCGAUAUUUCUCAAAUCCAAUCAAGCGUGCCACUUUGGUGGUCACUACUCAAUUGAAUCCUUAAAACUCUCUCAUACCAAGGAUAUAAACUUUACUUCUCACAUACACCAUAUACAUGUGAUUUUAACUUUAAUUAUAUGGGCAGCAUAUCACUAAAAUCCCAUAUGAUGCUAAUCACACUGCCUUAUUCAUUAAUAAAAAUUAAUCAUAUACAUAUAUAUAUAACCUGAAAGACAGACUCCAAUGAGAUCACCAAUUACAGCAACACAAGAAACUUCUCAUAACAUAGAAGCAAGCAUCUCUUGUGCACCCCGAUUAUAGAUUACCAGAACAAUAUAAAAAGAAUGCUGAUCCAGAGAAUCUAUCAAAAUUUAACAUCAAUAGCAAUAUAGGAUACCACAGAUCGACAAGCCUAACAACUGAUCAACUAUUGCUUAUGAGUUUCAUAAGGCAAAAAAUGAAUCCAAGGCCAACAACUAAUUUAUUAGCCAAUUUUUUUUUUAAGUAACAAAUUAUCAUUGUAAUCAACUAGUCGCCUAUUAAUUAAGUCAAACCAGAGAACCAAAUAUCUAAACCUUUAACAGUAGAUACUAUUACUCUGUGUAAAUGUUAUCAUACUCCUAAUCAAUAAAAAAUAUUCAACUUAAUGGACAUUAACCAAUGACCAGAUGAGUUUAGAUACAAUAUGUAAUGACUUAAUUGAUAUGCCAUACCCACAUUCAGCAGAUGUGUUAAUUAGUACAAUCAGUUUGGUCAUAGGUUCUUAAGACGUCCAUCAUUCAAAGGUUACCAGCAUGUAAAGGAGUAUGCAUGAGUAACCAAAAGUUUCAUAACCUUUUACCAUUUCUCAUCACUUCAAUACAUAAUUCAAUUACUAUCCUAUAAUGGUUGUAUCUCAUUAAGCCAGCUUCAAUUCACAAUAAAGUUUAAUUUUUAUUAAUUAAUCACACAAUUAUAAUGUUUAUGUGAUAACAUACUUGUAACCCAAUACUUGUAUUUCCAAAAUCAUAGAAAAUACAAGAAAAAUAUGCAAAAAUACACUAAAAAUACACGUAUUUAGGGCUUUGUAUGUAUUUUCACAUCCAUAAAAUCAUCAAACGUAUAAAAUAAAUACACCACAAGAUAGAAAAUGAACAUACGAAUCCAACGCAGCCAACCAUGCGCCGAUCCGAUGCUCCACGCGCUUGCACGCACCACCUAAGUGCAUGGCGCAUGGAGCCCACAAGCGAGCGUAUCUUAACCGGUCAAAACUAGUCCAACCGGUAGCGGUCAGACCGGUUCCCGGUUCGACUAGUUGAUCGGUUCGGUCAACUGUUGACCGGGUCGAGUCGGGUCAACAAGUUGGGUCGGGUCGGGUUGGCCGCCAAUCGGUCCGAUCGCUGAUGUCACUAUGGCGUCAGCAUACGCGCGUGUGUCGCACGUGCAAGCCGUGCCCCACGUGUGAGGGCGCGUGACCGCGCGUGGGGCGCGUCUCCUACACCCUGACAGAGCGUGGCCGCGCGUGAGGGCGUGUGCGGAGUCCUCCGGCGAUGCGCCACCCACGAAUCUGCUCAUCUCGUCGAGCCCAGUCCGAAUUUGUGAUUUAAUUUUAUUUUUAUUGAACAAAAAAUCACGAAAAUCACAAAUUAUGGCAAAAAUUUUAUGUAUUCGAGUUCUAGGAUUAUGGUUACUCUGAUACCACAUGUUGGAUGCAAAUCGCACAAUCCCAAGAUCUCCAUAACCAUAACAAGAACAUGCAUAAUUGAGUAGAAAGAUUAACGCACCUAUUUUGGGAUCCAUCAUUCUUGAAGUGGAAGCGGAAACACAAUAUUCCACACGCAAGUCAUUCUCCUCUAUUGCCCUCCGUAUCAUUGGCUCAAUGAGGCAAUCCCCUCAUGUUUAGCAUUAGGUAAAUGCUCCUUAUGUGAUGAUAUAUGUGAGAAUUAGGGUUAGAGGAGAGAUUUGAGCACUAUUUAUAGAGUUUCCAGCCAGGCCCCCUCAUUACGGGCCAAGCUCAACUCAGCCCACACUAGACAGCCCCAUAUUAGACUAAUUAAGAAAUAUUCUAUCUCAUCUUAGAUCAACCCUGUUUUACGGUAAUUAUAAAAAAAUAAAUUAUAAUAUCAAUUAAUAUAAUCCACAUUAGGAAAACUCUUACAUACCCAUCUCUCCAAACCCCCAAAUUGCCCCUCAAUUUGCCAUCAAAACUGCUCCUUUGCUGGAUCUCAAUCCUUGUGUACGAUCACCAGGACAAGCUGCUAUUGCAGGUUGGGCAUGUUUAUUUGGUUUCCCGUGUCGAAUUCGAAUAAGAAUUGAGGUCGAUGUUGAUGUCUAUUCAUGUUACUGCGAGAGUUUGUUUAUUUUCAUGGGUUCUGUUAUUUUCGAAUUAGUUGCAAUUGACUUCUUUUCAUUCGUGUUGGAAUCGGGGAACUGUGCUUGUAGGGGCACCCAAAGUGGGUCCUGCUUCUCUAUUCAUGCAUGCUUUAUCUCUACGUCGACAUGAUUGUGGGGCUGAGCAACGCCGCCGCGUGCCGUCCUCAGCAUCGAGCUUCAGAUGCCCUCCGACGAGCCCUACCUUUCCACAUCAUUCCAAGAUUUCUGGGGCCGAAGGUGGAACCUCACCGUGACCAACGCCCUGCGGCACACCGUGCACAAGCCCCUAAAGUCGUUCCUCGAACCGCACUUGCAGGCCACGUGGGCGACGGCGGCUGCGGUCAUGGCGGCGUUCCUCAUGUCCGGGCUGAUAUGACGUGACACGUGCGAGGCCUACUUGGGAGGUGACGGGGUUCUUCGUGCUGCAGGGGGCAUGCGUGGUGGUGGAGGUGGCGGCGAAGGCGGCGGUGGGGGAGAGGUGGAGGCUGAGCAAGGCGGUGUUGACACCACUAACGGUGGGGUUCAUGGCGGCGACCGCCAUGUGGCUAUUCUUCCCGCAACUGAUCAGGAACGAGGCGGACGCGAGAGCCAUUAAAGAGUGCAAGGCUUUCGUGGAGGGGCUGAGGCCCAAGUUCUGACACGCGGUACGAGGCAUUUGGGGUAAAUUUAACGUGCACAACGUUGUUCUUACGAAAUCGGUUAAUCACAUUUAAAAAAAUUUCAAAGCUAACAUUGGGUCCUCAAUUACUAGGAAAAAAAAUUGACAUUGGUCUUUAAGAAAACACAUUCUUUAGUCUAUGUAUAUGUUUUUCAUAAUGUAAUUAAUUAUAUCUGACUUUCACUACAUUCGCAUUCAAUGAAUCGGUACAAAAAUUAACCCAAAUAGUUGCUCAUCAUAAUCUUUUUUGUUACUCAUUAUUCUAUUGGUCAGGAUAAUGAAUGCGGUCCUUAAUUCCCAAUGAUGUUUUUCUUUUGUCUAUUGGUUGUGCAAUUAGACCUACCUAGAAGAUUAUAUAAUUGUCUUAAUGUGGUGCGGCAUUGUUAUCAUAUGUAUAGAAAUACAAUUUGCUCUUCGACCAUGCAAAUUCCAACUCUCACUAAUAAAAAAAUUGCCCUUUGAAGCUCGAUAAAAUUACAUUCCUACUGUCAUGAGUUUUCAGACAACCUUUUUGCUCCAUUUUGUCGGAGAUUGUAUCGUUACUCUUUCAAAUAAUGUUAUACUAGGAUCAGUCUACUAUAACAUGAAGACAUCAAGUUGUUAUGCUUAGAAUCGUCGGAUCAUCACAAUUAAUUUUCAGCCAUUGAUCAUUAACGGUUGAGAGUCAUUAUUGGAGAUGCCUCACAGCAUAAUAGCCUAGUUCAUAUAACUAGGUUGUCAAGAAAUUUGUUGAACUAGAAUUUAGGUUCAGAGAAUGUUUAUGCUCCAUGGUAGAUGCUCAUUCCUUUAGAGCGACGCAAAAUUGAAUAAAAAGUGAGGACGUAAUUACAAACAGCUUAAGUUAGGGGACUGCGCAAAUAAAAUCAAAUCUGAGGACUCAAUAGAAAAAAGAGUGCAAGUUGCAACGAUCCAAAAGUGGUACUCUUUUGGGAAAACUCCAUCUCAACUUUAUUCCCGAUAUCGUCCUGCAUUUGUCCCUUUAUUCUUCCUCUUUUUUUGUUUUUAUCAAAUAUUUCCCUCACUUUAGAGUCCUCCAAUUUGCACUUUAAUUUUCGUUAACAGAUUUCGAUUGGGCCAAAAUGCCACUACUCUUUAAAAAGUGCCAAACGUACUUUCUAAGCCCACCUCGAUCUUCUUUGAUUGAGAGAAGGUAACAUACGGCACAGUAUUCAAUGGUUAGGCAGCAUGACAUCAUAAGCUAACUUUAGCAUUAAUUUUUUUUUUCAAAUCCAAUAAAAAUUGAUACUUGUUCAUGACGCGGCACAUAAAUGAAAACAUCUUUCUCUGGUCGCAACAGUGGGGGAAUCUCUCUUUCUUUGCCCUGUUCUGUUGCAGCAAAUGGACGAGCCGCAACAAAGUGAGUGGCUUGGCCAUGGACGGCAACGACUGCGAGCCACCGCAAUGACAAUGGGAUGGCUGGGCCAUGGAUGUGCGGUAGUGGUCGGCUUGGAUGCAGUGCCGGCGACUCUGCUGGUGACUCUGAUGGAGGGAGUGGCCGUGGAUGGAGAAUGAAGAAGAGACCAACAAAGAAGGGCUGGUUUUUAAUUCUUUUAUUUGUUUGCCACGUCAUAGACAUGUCAAUUAUUCAUUGGAUUUCAGUACAAAAAUGCAUGCCACAUCAGCUUAUGAUGCGAUUUUAACUAACCACCGAAUAAUUUCUAGCAAUUUAUCAAAAAUUAUAGAAAUAGCUUAGAGUGUGUUUGAUUGGAUUUCUAGGGAAAAUUUUGGGAAAAUGCAAAAGAUUUUAAGUUAAAAAAGUUUUCAAAAAUGAAAAUUAUGUUUGUUAAAUUAUAAUUUAAAAAUCCAUUGUGAAGUACUUUUGAGUAAAAUAGUACUUGGAUAAGGAUUUUAAUUAUUUAAAAAAAGAAAAAAAACAAUUGGCCCUUUGCCGACUAAGGGUAGGCCAUCGCCGACUAAGGGCAAGCCAUCGCCGAUAAUCCAGAUCUAUUGUCGAUAACCGUCGUCUAAGGUCACAAGACCUCAAAUAGCUCCUGGAGACCAUUGGCAAGGGCCACUUCGGGUCGAGUGACCCUAGUGCGGGUCAUGUGCUACUAGGAGUCAUGUGACCUACGUAACCCCUUACAACUUCAAAAGUCACUCGAACCAGACGAGGGCUAGCUGGGUCAUGCGACCUUCAUAGUCGUAACAACUUGCAUAACUCGUUACAGCUCGGAAGGUCACUCGAAUCCAACAAGGGCCAGUUGGGUCUUGUGACCUACGUAACCCCUUACAGCUUCAAAGGUCACUCCAACUCAAUGAGGGCUAGCUAAUUCGCGCAACCCUCGCUAGGGGUCACUUGACCCCAACAAGGGCUAGUUGGGUUUCUUAACCCCAAGUAGCCCCUUGCCGAGGUCAUGUGACCACCGAGGGUUGUCUGCCAUCUAGAUCAGGCGACCUCGUCCAACCAUGUGAGGGUCGUGCAACCUAGAUGAUACUCGCCUACACGGUCGCUUGGGUCGCUGCGACUAGGGAUGAGCAAUUCCAGGUUCCGAUUCGGUUCCGUCUAGAACCUGGAACCUACCCUCAGGUACAGGUUCCUCAUUUUUUGAAACCUGAAACCUACCCUCGGGUACAAGUUCCUCAUUUUUUGGAACUUGGAACCUACCCGUCAGAAUCAAGAACUGGAACCUACCCUGUCACAAGUUCCAGGGUCAGUUCCAGGUUCCUACAUGUUUUUUUUUUUCAUUUUUAGAUUUGAACUACAAUGUACGCGCUUUACCCAAAAAAAAAAAAAAACUAUAACGUACGCGCAUACUCUACGAUAACUUCCCACAUCUUAGCAAACAUAGUACAUACCAAUGCCAACUGCCAAGAAUUUGGACAUACAUAAUCAAAAUCAAUAAGAAGUUUCCAAAGAGGAAAGGAGGGGCUUGAUUAACUAUAAUUAUUGUGCCCACAUAUGUCAAUAUAUGUACACUAAAGCUUAAAUGUCAUAUGCCUUAUCAACUGAGUUAAAUGAAAAUGAUUAAGCAAAAUAUACUAAGGAGAUGAAAAACUAGAAGUACCAACAAGAUGAUGAAGCACAUGAAAAUGAUGGAGCAAAAUAUAUUAAGGAGAUGAAAAACCAGUUUUGCCAACAAGAUUUCAAAUUUUCAUCCACUCCAUAGUGUGAACUUCGCAACAUUUCCCUAUAAUUCCUUUGGCACAGCAAAACCCUACAAAGACAUGGAUGAAAAUCAGUCAAAAUCCUAAGUAAAGACACAUCCAAAAAUCAAUAUCGAUAAUACUCCAUGAAGCAUGUCAUUUUACCCAUCUAAAGUCUCCUAAAUUCUUUGACAACAUAGUUCAAAAAUUCAAUGUACAUAAGAGUAGCCUGCAUUAAGAUUACGAUAAACAAAGUUGCUCAUCAAUCAACUUCUGCACAGUUAAAGCAGCACAAAGCCAACAAAAAACCUUGCUUGACUUCUCAACCGCUGGACCCAUUACAAAUGUGACACCACCAACUCUAUUUAUCGACGAUAAUCUUCGCAUUAAGACCAACCAUAUCUGAAAAAGAAGAAGAAGAAGAGGUUAAAUAAAAUAUUCACUUAUCAGAUAUACAAAAAGAAUUACAAUAUAUAAAGAUAUAAACAUUACUUACCCAACUAAAAUUGUUCCGCAUUCUCGAUACACUCUUCAACAUCAAGCGGUACACGAACGGCUCUCAACCAAUCUUGAGUGCAAAUCAAAGCUUCCACUACUUUGGGAGUUAAAGAACUUCGAAAGCCAUCAAGCACACGACCCGAUGUACUAAAAGUUGACUCUGAAGCAAUGUUAGUUACAAGAAUUGACAAAAUAUCUCAAGCCAUCAAAAUGAUCUUAUAUUUUGAGCCAUUAGUCUUCCACCAAAUCAAAAUGUCAAGACCAAGAUCCUUUUCAUUUUUUCUUGAAAAUACUCAUCAAGCUCGAACUUGUUGUUAUUGCACCCUUGUUCAUUCAAGUAUAAAAACAUUUUCUUCCAAGCUUGGCCGUCAUAUUUCUUUAUUCCUUCAUUACCACCCAUAUUGGUAUUGGAAUUGGAACUACUACUACUUGCACCCAAAUUAUGGUCACCAAAAUCUUGAUCACUUGAAAUAAGAUAAGAUUGUUCAUAAAAUUCAUACAAACGCUCCAAUGCAUCAUUUACCUUAUAAUGCAUCUCUUUAAUUUUUUAUUCAUCAUCAUAAAUUUGUCCAUACAAGAAACUCACAUAAUUUAACUUGACUCUAGGAUCUAACACAACGCAAUCAACACCAUCAUAUUCACUUUAUUCAAGCUUUCAUAAUAUUUGUCAAAUUUUUCUUUCAUUUUCACACACAUCGCUUGAAGCUUAAGAUCCGAAGCAUUGACCGCAUCUUUCAAAUAUCUAUACAAAAGAGCUAUCCCUUCAAAAUAAUCAUUUGAAGUAACAUAUGAUGUCCCAGACAUCUUAUUGGUGGCAUCAUAGAAUACUUUUAGAAAAUCCGAAAGAAUAAUAGCAUUUUCUCAAUCAUCAUCACGAAGAGUUUCAUGAUUAAGCUCACUUACAAAAGAUAAAUCGUGAUCUUCCAUUCUUUCGAAAGUUUUUCUAAACUUUAUGGUGGUGUCUAACAUGAGGUAAGUGAAGUCUCAUCUAGUGGCAACGUCAAGAACUACUGAACCCUUAUAAGUAAUCUUUUUCUCUCUCAAUGCAAGAUUGAAAUCAUUAGGCUCUCGUGGGAGAACUCCUUACAUACCUAACCACAUUUCGGAUACGUGCAAUAGAGUCAAGUACCGUAGUCAAUCCAUCUUUCACGAUCAAAUUUAAUAUAUGAGUUGUACACCUCAUGUGCAAAAUACUAUCAUCUAAUAUCAACGAUCUUUGUUUUGAAAAAAUUUCCCUCAAAUAGCUAAUUGCAACAUCAUUGAAGCUAGCAUUAUCCACGGUAAUUGUGGAUAUCUUUUUUUUUUCUAUUUCUCACUCCUCAAUGCAUUUCUCCACCAUUUUCCCAAUCUCCUUACCCCUAUGACUAUGCAUCACCACAAAGUUGAUGAUUCUUUUAUGCAACUUCCAAUUUUCAUCAAUAAAAUGUGCAGUGAAACACAAAUAAUUCAGAUUUUGAUUGAAACUCCAUGUAUUAAUCGUGAGUGCGAUCCUAGAAUUAAUCUUUCCAAAAUAAUUCUUCAAAGAAGUUAUUUUACAUAAAAACAACUUCAUGCAAUCCUUUGCUACUGUGAAACGUAAUACAUAUUUGAAGAGAGGUUGUAACUCAGUAACAUAUUCAUGAAAUCCAACACGCUCAACCAAAGAAAAAAGUUUGCUCAUCAAGGAUGAUGAACCAAGUAAGCAUGUGCCUACAACGUUCUUGAUUAAAUGACCAUAUCAAUAAGAAGCUACCAGUACUAGAAUCUCCUCCUGCCUUGCCAGCCAUGUUGACAUUACGUGGUGCAAAGAAUUUCUGCAUCUUAUCUACAUUACGGGAAAACCUCUUAUAUGUGGUCAAGUGCUUCCUCAUUGCAAAAGUACCAUUAGCAACAUGGUACUUAAGCAUGAACCCACAAUGAAUGCACUUCACUUGAUAUAUUUUUCCAUCCUUAUCACUAAUUCUCGAAUAAUGAUUCCAGCAUUCGGAUAUAUAUUUCUUAUUAUGAGGAAGAUAAGAACUGGGUACCUUAUUUGUGGCACUCGAGGUAGAGAGUGCAUCUUCUUCAAUUUCAUCGCCAGAAAACUCCUAUUUCAUAAUCGGAGUCAUCUCCUCACAUCCCUCCACCUCUAUUGAUGUGUUAUCUUGAUAUAUUAAUUUCGCACUACACAACAAUAAUAGAAUAUAAUUAGACAUUUCAAAACAGAAUGUGAAUUGAGUUAUAGAAUAUGUAGGCAAUUGCUAAAAACCAAAUCAAUACACAACUUUCCCCUCAAAAAAACGCUCUUAAGUAUUGUAGACAUUAGCUUUUGCUAGAUGAUAAUAAUCUGUGUAUUUUCAUAGAUGAUAACUCGUGCGUAAAUGACACAAGCUAAAAGGAGUCCAAUUUGAUCAUGCAUAUAUCCAUUAUGUGGCACAUUGUUAUCAUUCUCUUAUAUUACCUCUGCAAUUAAGGACCAGCAAUCCAGAAAAGCCACCCAAAACAAAGAAGUUAAGCAUCUAGAUUGCCAAAAUUCAAAAACACCGGCUUCCCCAAAACAAAGAAUUGAUCAUAGCAGUUUCAUUAAGCAAGUAGUCAUAGACCACAGCUUGCAUUUCUUUUCUUGUUCCAUUAAAUUGUGAAGGCAGUGACAACUUUGCUUUAUGUAGAAGUACCAGCUUUACUUGAGCAGGUUACAGAAGGAAAAUGAACUGAAAAUUUCUAAUGGGGGGAUGAAGCAUUCAAAUCUAAACCCACAAGAUGCCGCCAUUGGCAUAAUGAUGCUAUCAGAACUCCAUCAAUUUGAAAUUGUCAGCAUAAUUAUAUGGUACAUUAGAACUCCAUCAAUUUCCAGCAAAAUGAUGCUACAAAAUACAAACGGCAACUCAAAAUUUGCUACCAACAACUUGCUUAUCCAGAAUUUGAACUCCAAACAAUGAAAUUGACACCAGAGGGACUAUAAUCAUUGAGCAAUCUGGUCUUAGAAAUUAGGAAUCAAUCACUCACUCCCUCCACUGGAGCAGGAAAUGAAAUUCAUAGCAUUUGAUGGUAUUACCCCGAGAUCGUACCCUUGGAGUGAAGUUCCAGAAAUCCAAUUUCACCGAGCGAGCAGCGUCCGGCGCUAAGCAGGGACGUCGGUCACUAGUCUUUGGGGCAACGACGUCAGGCAUCGCAACUGCUGGCGUUGGGUCGUCAGAGCAGAGGCGAAGACAGCAGUAGCGGCGUCGUAGGUAAGAAUUGGAAACCUAUGGUACGUUUGUUUGCGUUUCUGUUUAAAAAUUGUUCCAGGGAACAGAAAUAGAAAAAAGUGUUUCUGUUCCGGGGAACAAUUUUUGAACAAAAAAACGCGUUUGGUAAACUUGUUCCGGGAAUAAAAAAUAAACAGAAACACGUUUGGUAAAUUUGUAUAAUUUUUUUAUUUCUUUUAUUUUUUCUAUUUUUUUUCUUAUUUUUCCUUUUUUUCUUUUUUCUUUUUCCUUUUUUCUUUUUUCUUCUUUUGGCCGGUCGCCGGCCUCAGCCAUGGCCGGUGACCGGCCGACGAGGGCCGGCGGCCUAACCCAAUAACGGAUAAGGAUUGACGACACCUGCGAGAAACGAGCUCCAUUGUGAGGUUGGCCAUGUUUUUUGUAUGGAUUGAGGUUAGGUUUUGUUAGUGGUGGUUUGUUUUUGGGUUCGGGAGGCGUUAUUUUUUUAAUUUGAGUUUUUUUUUCGCAGGUUAAAGUUAUAUGGUCGCUUAUUGUUUCUUUCUUUUAUGUUUUUUAGGUCUUUUUUGUCGUUUUCUAAAAUAUCAUUAGUUGAUCUUUUGUUCUCUUCGUUUUGUUUUGACUUUAUGGAUGGGUGCUGUUUUGUGGUACUGANNNNNNNNNNNNNNNNNNNNNNNNNNNNNNNNNNNNNNNNNNNNNNNNNNNNNNNNNNNNNNNNNNNNNNNNNNNNNNNNNNNNNNNNNNNNNNNNNNNNGCCCAUGCCGAGGCCGGCGACCCGGCCGAAGAAAAAAGAGAAGAAAAUAAGAAGAAAAAGAAGAAGGAAAAUGGAAAAGUGUCCCUCAAAUGUGUUUCAGAAAUAAGAAACACAAAUUUGUUGUUUCUUAUUUCUGUUUCUUUUUUGUUCCUGGGAACAAAAGAACAAAAAAGGAACAGAAACGCACCCAAACGCGUUUCUGUUCCUUUUUUGUUCCCAGGAACAAAAAAACAGAAAAAGUGUUCAAAAACAAAAAAAAAAAAAAAAAGAAACACAAACAAACAGAGCCCUAGUGACCAGCAGCUACGAUCGGACGGCCUAAGGAUGGAAUCACGGCAGGAACGAUGGCUUCUGGCGUCUGGUUGCAGCGGCGGUGGAGCAAAGGAAGACCCAACAGCAUGGGUGUCGGGGCUUCUAGCGCGAGCAAGGACGUUGAUUGCUGGUCUUCGAGGCAACAACGACAGGCGUCGUGACUACUGGCAUCGGGUCGUCGGAGCAAAGGCGAAGACAGCAGCAGUGGCGUCGUGAGUCAGAAUUGGAAACCUAGUGACCAGCAGCUAGGGGUGUGCAUGGUCCAAGCGGGCGGUUCCCGACCUAGAACCGAGAAUCGCCCGCUAAGGACCGAUUCCGAAAAAUUGGAACCGGGAUCCGCUCAUUUGUUGCAUGGAUCCACCUGGGAACCGGACCACCGGUCCGGUCCAAUUCCAGGGUGGAUCCAUGGAGCCGAUCUAGAUGCGAAGGUGAGCUAUGGCGUCGUGGUGACGGGCGAGCGGACAAAGGGUGCUCGUGGUUGCUAGCGCGGUGGUCGGCGUGGUGUGGCGUCGCGAGUCACUAGGGUUUUGACGUAAGGCAGCGGACAAGCUCGAUAGAUCGGGCUACGUCCGUUCGCCUCGCGCAACUCCAAGCCAAGAUCCUUGGGAAACCGACCCCAUAUCGGAAAAGUCGAGAACAAAGGGGGACGAAAUCUACCGUGAUUUUGUCGCGAAAGAGAAGUCGAGGUGGGUCGUCGGCUACGGUUCAAGUGUGGUGGUUAACGGCGACUCUCUCCCUCACACUCUACCCUUACUCGCAGCUCUCAGAUCUCACUCGAUCUCCCCCUCUCUUUUUAACGUCUCACAGAUCUCUCUCUCUCUCUCUCUCUCUCUCUCUCUCUCUCUCUCUCUCUCACAUCAUCUCUACUUGACCCCCCUUCAUCGAGCUCCAUGAGGCCCUAUUUAUAGGCUGAAGGGUCAGGUCGACAAGGGCAUUUCCACUACCGAUCCUGGGCACGCCGACCAGCCUCCCUCUUGGCCGAACCGGUGUCUCAGCCCGUCUUCUCUGCAUAGGCCUGCUCGACAUCGAAGGCGUCCGCCAAGACAUCCCCUCCGUCCGGGUUUCUCGCCAGAUCUCGCGCUACUCCAUUCGGCAGCAUUGAUGGCUCCUAUGAGGCGUCCCCUCCGUCGUCGAUCUACCCUCCUCUCUCUCUGCCCUAGGUCGUCCUACGUGCCUUUAGUCUUCACCGAGCGUGGUGUCCACUGUCCAGCACGAGGAAGGAAGAAGGAAGAAGAAGAGGAGAGGGCCAGACCGCAAAAAAGAUGAAAAAUGGAUUGGGCCAGCCCGCGUGAGGGAAAAGAAGAAAAGAGGGGAAAAGAGGGAAAAUGGUCCGGUAUUGCUAGGGUUUGUUUUAGUAUAUUUUUUUAAUAUUAAAUAUUAAUCGGUUCGGUCCGGGUGGGCGGGUGGACGGAUCCGCCCAUGGAAUUGGGAACUGGACCGAUACCCACCGGUUCCCAUAAAUUGGAACCGGGAACCGGACCGGUUCCCUCAAGAACCACUGGUUCCGAGGGUUCCGAUCUGGUUUCGGGCGGUCCGGGGUUCCUGGGUAUUUUGCACACCCCUACCAACAGCUACGAUCGGACAGCCUGAGGACGGAAUCGCAGCAGGCACGAUGGCUUCUACCGUCUGGUUGCAGCGGCAGUGGAGCAAAGGAGGACCCAGCAGCAAGGGUGUCGCGAAUUCUGGCGCGAGCAAAGGCAGUGGGUCGCGAGCGGAGACGAGCUCGGCUCAAAUCUGCCUACGUCAGGUAGUUGCGGCGAGCAAGAGUCAGAGCAGCAUUGGCGACAGGCAGAGGCAAAGCACGGCAGCAACGGGCGUAAGGAAUUCUCUUAUCUUACGCAACAGUUCAUUGUUUUAAGAUGGUCUCAUCGCUUUUACGUUUUUGUCACUUCAUCCGCAGUGAUUGGAGCAAUUCUUUUCAUGCUUUGAUUGGUAUCACACGAAACAUAUACAUACAACUAUACAAGUAAAGCACCUUGGAGUCUGUGGAGAAAGUUAUACGACUUGAUUCAGUCAAAAUUAACUUCCUUUAUUAUUAGAGGAUAAGGUAAAGACCUUGCGAAAUGGCAAUCUAAAAUUAAUUACGUUGAAAGCAACACGCAGAUAUCAACAAUUUGAAGAUUUUACAUUCAAAAGCGAGUGUUUUUUGUCCAAAAAAAUUAUUGGCUUAAUAUCAACAUUAGCUGUACAAUCCUUGCCUUGCUAUUUCUCACAUCCUACUUUUACUUUCUCAGAAAAAAGAAAAGAAAGAAAGAGUACGCAAUGAGAGAUAAUGACAGAAGGAUAUAGGUUGAGUAGAAAUGCAUUUCCGCACCGGGUUUCAUUUCGAUUAGAGAGACACACGUGAUAGACUGAGUAGACAAGAAGACUUUUGCACCGUAAUGUCCUUUUCGGGUUCUAUAUUGUUGCAAAAGCCCACUACAUGGGACAUUUACUUUUGAAUUAAAAAAUUUGCGACAGGCAAUCUGCAAAGAGCCAUAUUUUCUUGCAUCGUUGAUCGAAGGAAAGUUUCUUCAUUCAUACCUUUGACUAGUGUAUCGCACCUUACAAGUCAUGAUAUUAUAAAUAUUAUCACCACAUAAAAAAAAAUAAACGAGAGCACCAUUCAGAAGUUCAGUUGAAGGAAUUUCCCUGAAACCAGGGUUGGGGAAAAACAUGGGCUAUUUGCAAAUCCGGAUGAAUGAUGCUUGAUGCAACGGUGACGUGAAAUACUUUCACACGUUCCGGUUGUUGAUUUUCCAGUUGGUUAUUCAUAAAAUAAUGGAAACCUGAGUAGACGUUCCUCCGCAGUCACCAUGUCCAAAGUUGAAACAGGUGCAUAAUCAUUCUAGGAGCACAAUACUGUACCCGCUAGUAUUUAUUGAAUUAAAACAUAACCAUGCGUGCUUGCAUAACUUCCUCAUGUCUAAUAUACGUUCUCAUACCCGGAGCUGAAUCCGACGUCUCCAAUAAGAAAAAGAUGGGAAACUCGAGAAAUAGCACUUGCUAUACCGAGCUAAGGGAUAGAAUUUGUUGCCAAUUAAAGUGGGUUUUAUUCAUUCACGUGCAAACAUCAGUGGACAUUUGAGACGACUCGUACUUGAAAUCACCAGAAGAACCAUCUGAAACGCAACAAAGCUGCUCAUGACAGUGGAGAAACCAUUUUAUUCAACCAUUAUUGCAGAAGCUUUUAAGCUUCUACGAGUUAAAUGGCAUACAUUCUCCUACAUUCCCAGCAGGAUGAUGGACCCAACUGAGUCCAUUAUCUAGUUCUUGACAUCUUCGGUUUCUUCUGGAGGGUGACC
This 88346-nucleotide long non-coding RNA is filed under the name Eucalyptus grandis. Its description in RNAcentral is "long non-coding RNA (EGRA_LNC003519)". Lineage: Eukaryota; Viridiplantae; Streptophyta; Magnoliopsida; Myrtales; Myrtaceae. The record is from RNAcentral.